Molecule: long non-coding RNA, 71806 nt
Filed under: Selaginella moellendorffii
Lineage: Eukaryota; Viridiplantae; Streptophyta; Lycopodiopsida; Selaginellales; Selaginellaceae
Description: long non-coding RNA (SMOE_LNC001542)
Source: RNAcentral
UUUUUUUUUCUUUCUUCCUUUUGUUUUUCCUUUUCAUUCACAUAAGCUCCCACAGAAUAAGAAGCUCUAGAGUAACAUCGUGGCCUUGUUAGUUUUUGCAGCUGGUUUCUCAGGUUUGGAUUUAGUACUUUGCCAUUGGAAACGUAGAGUCUUUGCAAGUUCAAAAAUUAUACCAAAGGAUACAAAUGUAGGGACAGUGUCGUCUCGAAUCCUGUGAGACAACAACUCUUCCAGUGCCUUAAACUUCUACUUCUGCCCAAGUGUAGUGCACCUUAUCUCUCUCCCCUUAAGCCAACUGGAAAAGGGGCAAUUGCUUGAUGAGAGAGCCCUUAGUGGCUAUUUUAUCCCCAUUUAUCUCCCAAGGUUCCAAGGAUCCACGGUGACAGUAUAUCCAAAUCUCAUCCCAUGAUCACAUGCGCUACACUCACCCCCCCUUCAGAGAUGUCAAUGUCCUCAUUGACUAUUGACUAAUAACCCCUACUGAGCCAAGGGGAACCAGCACCUCCAUUUCCGCACUCAAUCUACCAAUCCUUCCAUUGUGUAGACCAGCUAUUCCAUGUGAGGCAACUAGUCAUCCACCCGUACCGCAGUCCCACGGUGGAUACCUUCGUCCGUGGAUACUCCACACAAGAGGCAAUGUCCUCAUUGACUAUUGACUAAUAACCCCUACUGAGCCAAGGGGAACCAGCACCUCCAUUUCCGCACUCAAUCUACCAAUCCUUCCAUUGUGUAGACCAGCUAUUCCAUGUGAGGCAACUAGUCAUCCACUCGUACCGCAGUCCCACGGUGGAUACCUUCGUCCGUGGAUACUCCACACAAGAGGAAUGACGUACGCAUGGAUGCCCAAUACGUACGAUUUCAAAUUUAGGGGUAGGAAUAUACCUUGCUCAAGGGUAUAUUAUACUUUUUAAGUAGCUACUAAUCAAUGGGAAUCGAACCCGUGCCAUUUGCUCUGAUACCAACUGUAGCGCACCUUAUCUCUCUCCCCUUAAGCCAACUAGAAAAGGGGCAAUUGCUUGAUGAGAGAGCCCUUAGUGGCUAUUUUAUCCCCAUUUAUCUCCCAAGGUUCCAAGGAUCCACGAUGACAGUAUAUCCAAAUCUCAUCCCAUGAUCACAUGCGCUACACCAAGAGAGAAUAUUUUCAUCAUUACAAAUCCGUAGUGAGAGCAUCUUCAGGCUUUACUGAUAGUGGCAGCCCUGGACGAGGUAGCCAAGUCCAAAGAAAGUUGUUUAAAAUGUCGAGCAAGAUAUCUACAACUAGGUAGGAUGAUUCCAUAAACAAGUAACAUUGUUCUCGCCAUGGAGAUUGGUAUCUAGCAUGAUGUUUUCAGUUUACAAGGUUGGCUGUGGAAAACCCCUCACACAUCCAAUGACAAGUCCCUGAAAAGUUGAUGGACUCAAAGAUUGUUUGAAGUAGUUUAUAACUUUCUUUCUCGUUAGGACAUUUUUUUUAUAUACCUUGAUGCAUGUUCUACUUUAAAGGAUUUCUUUUAAGCUACUACAGGGUGAAGGAGAGCUCAACAUUGUCAGAGAUGGAUAUCCAAGGCCAAGAACCAAAGUGAACCUUUGAUGUAUGUGUGUCUUCCCAUUUAACUUUCUUCUAAGCUGCUUUGUUUUUCUUUUGUAAGCUAUCCAGUAGGAUCCAGUAGGAGCACGGUCAUUUAGAAGCAAGAGACUUAGUUUAGCGAAUUGCAAGUUUCGUGACAAAGAGAUGUCAAAGAUACAAGGACUUUUAGUGACCAUGUCAAUAUCUCUGAAGGUCACCCUUGAAAGACUUGACUUUAGCGUAAGUAUAAAGUACUUGCAAUGUGAAGUGCCAUUGUUAUUAGCAUUUUGUUGAUGCUACAGGAUAAUAUGAUUUGAGUAAAAAGGUGCAUAUGAUGAAGUUCUGCCGCUAAUGAUAUGCUUUCUAGAUUUUGUUUGCUAGACAGCUUCUUCACACUUUCAAAUUCGAGUCCUAGCUCAAAUUUUUGAUUGCCAUAGUGAUUUUGACUGUGGCUUUUCCAACCCUUUUGUCAAGAGCACUACAAGAGCAUACAUGGCUUCAAGCAUCUAGUUCAAACAAAUCAACAAAGAUGAAAUUUAAAAUUGCUUGUGGCUCAAGCUCUUUCACGUUCAUUUUCUUGCACAUUUAUUGCAAGAUGGGGUUUAGCAUCUAGUACAGAAAGCAAUACACCACAUUCUGCACCCAACUUCUCUGAAGUCCUUAAAGAACUCUCUAUCCGGAUGCACAAUGAUCAUUUUCCAGGAUUCCAGUGUUAGGCAUACAAUGUUAACGUGGUAGAUUACCUGAGAGGGGCUUUCAGAGGUAGCUUGUGUUUCUCGCAUAUUAGUUCUCUUGGAAAUUUUAGGUUGUUGUCCAAUGCAAUCAGCAGCAAUCUUGUGAGUUGUUGCUAUGGGAUUGCUAGUUUGUGUGCUUUGAAUUCUAGAAAUUGUUAAGAGAAGCAUUGCAAGAUUUCACGAAUAGAUAUUUGUAUUAUAGAGAAAGCAUUUGAAAAAUAGACAAGAGACAAUUGUAUCUAUUUCUAGUUGUUGGCAAUUUCCAUGACUGAAUUGUUUGGUGUCUCAAAAUGGACAAUAAUAUUUGCCUCAUUCAAUAGAAAGAACCCUAUUAGUUUUGAAGACAGAUAAACAGCAAUCUUUUCUAGGGAUUCCAAAGCAAACUUGACCAUAGACCCUUCAUCCAAAUUAUAAAUUUUAUCCACCAUUUUAUCAUACACUGUAACUAUAUUCCAUUAUGUCAUUUGAUAUAAUAGAACCAAUUAUUGUAGCUGAUUUAUGAGGGAUGGAAUGCCCUUUACACUUUGCGCAAACAACAAAACCAUCUUCUCUCUGCUCUAAUAUUGUGAAAGAGCAAAAUGAGCAAAGACUUUCAGCUUGAGUGAGGCUUUGUUGGUUGUCAGGGAUGAAAUAUCCACUAAUCUAUAUAAUUGGAAGUUAGAGUUGAAAGUAGAUGUAAAUAGUUUACAUUACCUUGUCUUUAGAAGUGAGGCCACAGUGUGAUUUAUAAACUUCAUUGAGCCUCUGAAUUUCAUUUGAAUCAACUAGUGGCAAAAAUAAAGUACUUCCAAGUGUUGCUAAAUCACCUGAUACACUCAUGUUUUUCAUAAUAUUAAAAAAUAAAAACUUUGGCAUAUAUCCAACAUAUAAAUCUGCUACAAUAUGAUGAUAUUGCUCUUCAUGCUCCAGAUGCAUAUAGAGUUGUGAAAAUAUCUUAGAAAUAGAAAAUUAAAUAGGAAAAAACAUUACCAUAGUUAUGUCCAAAGGAUUAUCAGAAGAAGCAAUCUUUAUUUUAGAUAAAACACCAAUGAUGAUUACAAUAGCAUGUAUAGCUUGUGGAUAAACUCUAGUAGCCAUUAAAGAUGAUAUAGAAGCUCCUCUAGUUGGCUGUAAUCUUAAUUUAACAUCAAAAUCAUCUUUAAUUUGAAUCAUAGAAGAAUCUGUAAUAUAAAGAACUUUUUCUAAAGUUCUAUGGUGGUAAACUAGGUUUUUCUAUCGUUCAACCCAUCUGAAGUGAGAGAAUUAUAAUCUUGUUAAUUUUUUUAAAAAUAAAUUACAAACCUUGUAAGUGAGAAACAUUUACCAACGAUAAAUUUAUUUUAUAAUCAUGCACACAUGGAUGAAUUGCCAUAUGCAGUUAAAGUUUGCAAGCCAUGCAUAUCUGUACAAUCCAUUAUAUAAAUUAAGUAUUUUGCACUUUGCAGAGUGUUCUUUGGAGGCAAAAAUCAAAUCAAAACUACAGAAAAAAAAAGAUUUUAAAACCAUAUAUAGAUAAAAUCUUCAGCUCAAGAAUUUUGGUUGAAUUUGCUUUUCCAAAGACAAGUGUUGCAAUAGUAGCUUUUAGGAUGGUCAACUUUGUCCUCUUUGCUUGUGAAACUACAAAACCAAAAAGAAAUAAAUCAAGAAAUACUAAGGAAUAAAGAGAAAAACCAAACCUUCAUAAGAAUUUGUUUCUGUAGACAAAUCCUCAGCGGGUGACAAUUGAACAAUAUCCAUAGCACAAUCCAAAUCUGACAUAUCUAUGUGAUUGAUUAAACAGAAUUACCUCUAGUUAAUUUAUACUAGUAAAAAGAUCCAAAAAUAAACUAGACUUCACUUUGAAGAAUCGAAAACAAAAAAGAAUAAAAAUUUGAGCUAAAAAUUAAAAUCUGUCAACUAGGGUUACAGUAGACAAUAAACCAAUUCCACAGGUGACAAACCUUCUGAACCUUUUCAACAUUGUCCAAGCUGAAGCUAGAAGCAACCUGACUGUACUCCUCAGCUGCUACAAUCUCCCUCCAUCCAUCGCUUUAGAAAAGAGGAAUGAAUAGGAAUAGAAAGAUUGUCCUCCACUAAUCUUUAUUUUCUACACAUAAUAGGGAGCCAUACAGAGGAAGAUCUAAGUCCAUAUAUGCAUUCCAGGUUGAUUGAUUGAUUCUGGGCAAUCAAUCAGUACCGCCAUAGUGGGUUUCUAAUCCUGGAUCGUGGCUCUCAGCUCAAACCUCCAGGGAGAGCCAAUUCUCAAUCAAUUCACUAGUCCAAAUAUGAUUUUUCUUGAUGCUUCCCAGAGACAAGAGCAAUCCAUUGGAGCCAGUGGACAAUGCAGUGGCUGGGAAUGACAAUAGCAUCAUGAUUGAUCUCAAGGGGGCACUACUCAAAUUCCUGAGCUGGUUUCAAUGCUUCAUGCUUGUCACAAUUGAGGCUGGGAGGCCUCUAUGAGCGCUCCUCCUCUUUUUCAUUCUUCCCUUCACGUGGAUCACUGGCCGCUUCGUCCAUCCAGUCUUGGCUCCAGAUUCUCUGCUUCAUGGCAGAGCCUGGAUUAAGGGCCUUGGCAGUGGAACUUUGAGAGCUUAUGCUCAUGAUGAUACAAAGUGGUUAGAAAAGUUUAUAAAUUAUAAUUAUGUUUAUAAAUUAUAAAUACGAAAUUAAUCUAAAUGAAUAGAUGAUAGAAUAUCCUAAUAUAUCCAAGCAUAUUCUAAGUAUAUUCAUUACUAUACAGGUUUGCUUAAGAAAACCAAAAAAAACCAUAUAUGGAAAAAGAAACCAUGAGCAUCUUUACUAAGGAGAUAUAAUACUCACUUCCACGACAAAAAAGCUAGCCUCCUCGACAGCCUCGAGGGAGAUGGCACAGGCUCCUCUGGAGGCAGCAGCCAUUGCCAAAGGGUACUACUGUCAACUUCCCAGCCAAGAUGAGAGCCAACUGCAAAGCUUUUCUGCUCGAGAGCAUCCCGAGAUGCAAAUCUGACUAUCCUCUGGUGAGGCUCAAGGGGGACGUCCAGGGGCACUACACUGGAUCACGCGUGGUAUGGCUUCAAGAAACUGGAAACUUUCCUGGACUUUGCUGGAGCUGCUCAUAGGCAUCAGGACGGGGGACCAGAAGCUUCUCCACUUGAAGGAGUUGGAAGAUAACAAGAUCAAGGGCAAGGACAACAUCAAGAACAUGUGCUUCUGUUCUUGACGAGGAAGAGGAGCUUGACGAGGUUGCGAUGACUCUGGAACCAGAGGAAGAAAAGAAGAAGCAAGAAAAGGCAAUGGUGGAUGUGAAGAAGUGGAAGAAAGCUACCACGGCUAGCAUCCAGGCAACAUGGAAAGCCCAGGCUCCCGCAAGCAAUGCCAAGGCGCAAGGAGUGAACAAGAGUAGCAGCAGUGGCAAGCUCAAGAUGGGGGGUGGAAAGCUAAGCGAGCUCAUUAGAAAAGUAAUGAGAUAGCAUUGACUGAUAGUAGUCAGCGUUAGUCCACCCUACUAACGAAAAUUCGCAGCUCAAGUCACACCAUGAUAAUCAAUAAAUCCAUCAGCGAGGCUACUCUCAGCCACAUUCUCCGUGAAACAGAGCCUCAUUCUAAUGAAUUCAUUGAUGUGCUUAUAAAGCUGGUAAAGAAUUAGUGACUAACGUUGACUGCUAUGACUACUAUUAUCUACUACUUCCGAUAAGAAAUGUUAUUGAAAGUUUAUAUUUUUAAAACAGGAAAUUAAAUGUCCAAAGUGUUUGUUUGAGACUUGCAAUAUAAUCCCCCCAAUUCAAUAUCUCUCUGUUGUCUUAAUGAAAAGUUGUUGUCUUGUUGCCUUGUUUGAGACUUGCAAAUCAUAAUCUCCUAAUUCAAAUGCCUCCAGACUUCUCCAUCUGUUAUAAUUUCGAUUGAAUACGACGGACCUGCCUUUGCCUGUUGCGGUUUAAAAAAACCGAAGUAAUUUGUUUCAUGAAUCUUCAUUCUGUGCCUGCAACCUCAAGCGUAUCAUCAGUCCAAAACGACCGAAAAGCGUACCUCCUUUCGCUCUAAGCUCCGUCGAGCUCCAGCUUAACCUCCGAGGUGGAAGGCUAGUUCAAGCAGAAGUUAUACUUUGACUCGAGGCAUGGAGACUGUUUACCUUGGCAUCUGAGUCGUGUACACGAGCAGCCAAAUGCGAACCUCCAGAAUUGGCCGAGUGAUUUGCCUCAACCACGGGCUUCUCCAGAUUCUCCACCUCACGGAUCCUAAAAGUGCUCCAUUAGUCACUUGUUCUAUCUCUCAAGCAUGAAGACUUACCUGUGGGAGUGCUUGUUGCCAGGCCUCCUCAUCCCAAACUCGGUGAUCCUUUGCAUGUGCUUCUCCAUCUCAGCUCGCUUCUCCGCUGCUGCCGCGAGCUGAACAACGAAAGCAUCUCCAGGAUCGAACACAGUGCCACGAUGAGACACUGGAUCCAAAGCCUGUUCCUGGGCUCUUCGAUCAUUGCCGCUCCGACGAGCAGCACUCGACAAGAAUGGAUCCUCCGGGAGAGAAGCUCUUGGCACCUUCUUGUGCUCGUCGACUCCAUGGAUCGCUGCUGGUGGAUCUCGUCCCAAUGGCGGCGUCAGGGGGUCGUCAACCGAAUCGGUAGCAGCACCAUAGAUUGGAUUCAUCUUGAGAAAAGCCGAAGGUGGCAGCCGCCUUGGAGGCCUCGCGAGUGGAGGACUGGCCACCUUUGUGCUGGGAUUUAGCUGCGACGGUCGAAGGUGCUGCUCGCUCCUCUCUUGAACGAAGGAAUUGAGCUUGUCCCGGAGCUCUGCGUCCUCAAUCUUGCUCAAGGGAACGAGAUACUCUCGCUGACUGCCGCUGCUGCUGCUGCCACCGCCAGGAAGAUGGCUGCUCCCGACGUAGCGCACCAGGAUGUCAUUCGCCUUCUUUCUUCUUCCCUUCACGAGUAUCCAGAUGCCGGUGACGAUGGCCACCAUAGCAAGCAGGAAAAGGACGAUGCCUGCCGCAAGCAGCCCCGGUGUCGCAAACGCUGCCGCUGCUGCUGCUACUGUUGAUGAUGACGACCCCAGAGGCGGAGCAAUAGACAAGGGGCCAGGCGGAGGCGGCGAUGAAAACGUGUGAAAGACAGGCGACCCUGGUUGCCAUGUUAUCGUGUCAUGAGCGGGCCUUGGCCACCAAGUGGUUGUCCCAGAAGAAGGUGGCGGCCCUGUAUGCUCCUUUGCUGGUGGACGUGGCGGCGGCCCAAACCUCCUUGGUCGCCAAGUGGUUGCCCCGGAAGAAGGUGGCGGCCCUGUAUGCUGCUUUGCUGGUGGAGGUGGGUGCUGCUUUGCUCCUCCUCCGUGGCUGUGCUGCUUUGCUGCUCCGUGGCUUGCUGGUGGCGGUGGCGGACUGUGCUGGUGCUGCUUUGCUGCUCCGUGGCUUGCUGGUGGAGGUGGCGGACUGUGCUGGUGCUGCUUUGCUGCUCCGUGGCUUGCUGGUGGAGGUGGCGGACUGUGCUGGUGCUUCUUUGCUGCUCCGUGGCUUGUUGGUGGCGGACUGUGCUGGUGCUUCUUUGCUGCUCCAUGGCUUGUUGGUGGAGGUGGUGGUGCUCCAUGGCUGUCCUGCUUUGGAGGUGGUGCUCCUCCAUGGCUGUGCUGCUUUGCUGCUCCAUGGUGUUGCUCUGCUGGUGCUGGUGGAGGUGCCUGACUGUGGGCUCUGCUGUGAGGUGGCGGAGCUCCUCUCGCCCUCCUUGGCGAUGGUUUGGGGGGCGGCAUGCUACCUGGAGGUGGCACUCUCGUUUUGGGCGGUGUCGCGCUCCUGUGCCCUGGACGAGGCGGAUGCACGCUCCUGUGCGCAGCUGGAGGCGGCGCCCGACGAGGUGGAGACGACGGCGGCACACUCCGACGGAUGAUGCUAGCCAUAUUUCUUGCUUACCGGAUUCGCUUCCGAGAAACCUUUUUUUUAGGUCAUGAAGGUUUAGUGCAUAUAAAUGAUUCUUGUACGGACGCAUUAUCUGCAGCGCUUUAAAGUUAUGAUGUCCAGUUUUUGCGAUCAUGAUGGAAGCAAUAUCACUGUUCGGAAUCUCUUUCUUUCAUUAUCACAUAAUGCUCAUUUGGUUCUUCCCCCAAAAAAACCGGAGCUCGUUGAUAAACUCUCAGGCUCAAUUCUAGGAGGAAGAGCAAAGAUGAGAAUGGUCGUUCACCACGAUGCAAUGCUCCGUGCGUAAGAAUUUAAUCAAAAUCUCCACUCUGGAAGCUUAUGUUGUUUGAAAAUUCUUUUCAUUGCGUUUUAGGCGUCAAAGAUCGUGUAUUGUGACCUUAUCGACACACACAAAAGAGAGACAGCCCAUAGCAAUGGUUUUUAUAGUUGAAUUUGCUUUGAUGGUGAUUCACUCUUCAAUGGGCACAUGGAUCAGGUAUGCCUAGGGCUAAAGAAAUUGAUGUUUAAUAUUUGAUCAUAGUAAAUAACGACUUAAAUUACCACUAUAUUUAUAGCUUCAUUUUUGGACUUAGUCGUACUACAUAUUUUUUUGUUUAUAACUAUUAUAAUUGACUUAAAACUUAGUCACAAAUAACUACUAAACAUAACAACUAUAUUUUUUGUUUUAUAACCAUUAUAAAUGACUUAAAAUUUAGUCAUAAAUUGCAACUUAGCUUAAGAAAUUUUUUAAUUCUGACUUUAAAGCUAGUCAGAAAUAAUGACUACUAAAAAUAAGUGCAUAUUUUCGUGUCUUAAAUUGCAGUUACAAUAUCAAUGGAAAGCUUAAUGACAGAAAUUUAAGUUGUAUAGCGAAUUAAUGCAAUAACAUAAAACUAAGUCAGGCUCAUGUAGUAAUGGACGAUCUUGUUUGUGUCGGGCACAUUCUACAACAAUGAGCCAACUGCCUGAUCGGGGGGAUGAUGCUGGAUUGAAAGGAGUUCCCCCAGUCAGGAUCAGGAUCACCGAGUAGGAGCUUGAUGCUUCAUAUUGGAUUGUUGUUAAUGUCCAGUGCUGGCUGCUGAGCCCAGGUAAGCUUGAUGCUACUGGGAAUUCAUACUCAAUUGGGAGUGUCCAGCCCUGGCCACUGAGCUUGUGACACAUAAUCGAUGCCAAAAUUCUUCCACACAUACGCAAUCUUGCCAUAGACACCUUGCUUGAUGUUUGUGGAGAAGAUGUUGUGGACGUGGAAGAAGGCCUUGGUGAGGGACUUGCUUAACGUUUGGGGUGACAAAGCACAGCAUAGGCUGAGAGGAAGCUAAAGAACCAUAGCUGAACACUCACCUGGAACUUGGGGACAGCCAUGAAUGAGGAUGUGAAGCUCCUUCCUGAGCUGUAGGAUGACUUUCAAAGUAAAGGAAACACUUUACUGACAAGCACAAAUUCUCACAUCAUGAUGAAACAAGAAGAGCUCAAUCAAUGACCUAUGAUAACAAGAUAGCUGGAACAAGAAGUUAGUAUGUAUAUUCCAAAAUACCCAAUCCUUGUGAUGGCCAAAAGUGUCAUAAUAAAAAUUUAGAAGACCUCGAAUGAGUAGAUAUAUGCAGCUUUUGUUGGAUUUGAUGGGGACACAUUUAGCACAAGAAAAGUGAAGAAUAUUUAGAGCUAAAUCAUCGUCAAUGCUUCAUAUUGUGCAAAGCCCCUUCCAAUGACAAUACUAAUGAUGAAACAAAAUGACAAACUCAUAUAGUUGGCAGAAACAAGGAGCAGCAAAAGAAGCACUCCUUCUUUUGGCACUUGCAAUGUUUUUCUAGAAAGAACAAUAGAACUCUUUGCAAGGUAAUCAUACUAUAUUCAGAAAGUAAUAAACUCCAAAACACCACAAACUUGUAAGUGAGUACUCUUUUCUUGAUCAAUAGUACACAAAAUUCUCCUAUAGCUUGUUUGUUCAUACUCUAGGAAAGCUACCUACAUUAACCAGUAGCUAAAGAGAGAAGUACCCAUAAGAACUACUCAUUGCAAGGCCCUAGUCAUUGUACACUUUCUUCACCUCCUUGAUACAGGCAUUGCCUUUUUUGCCAUAAUUGCUCUUUAGUCUUGCUUUCUGGCUAGCAUCUGCUAGUUCAAUAGCUCUUGGAUAUUUGUUCCAACCUGGACUAUUCAAUGAGCUUGACAUGAAGGACAAAACAGCAAGGAGCCAACCUUGCCAAUAACGUUAGGAUGUUUAUAACAAUCUAAGAAAUCAUCUUGCAGGGGCCAAUUCCAUCAACAACCAAAGGUAAUGAACCACAAGGACCUGAAUUUAAAAAUAGGUUCCCAUUUGUAGUAGUAUUUGUUUCACAUAUUCAAACUUGGAGUUGUCACUCUUGUCUGAGAUAUACAAAGCACAAUUCUCAUAUGACUUCAAUGACUUGGUUUAUAAUGUCACUCUUGCUUGCCGGAAGAUAUAAAGAAUAAAACACUGUCUUGAACUUCACAAUCCUAAGAUAGUUGCAUAGACAAACAUUAUGGAUAUUUAUGGAAUCGAAUAAAACUUACAUUUCCAUCAUGUAUUUGGACAAAUCAACCUUCCUGGCUGGUUUGCAAUGUAAUCAGAUCAACACACCUCAUCAAAAAGUUCACGGAGAUCAAAGUAGUACCACUGACCAUGGAAAUACUUCCUCAAAAUCCUAGGUACAUGGUUUGUAAGCAAUAAUGCAUUAUUCACAGCAAUGAUACCCACCUAAUCACAAAGGAAGACUGUAUCAUAGCUCAUCAAUAAAAUUCACGUAUUGUUGUGUGAAUCAUCCAUUAUAUCAUCCAUUAUUAAGAAGUAAGUUUGCAACUAUACAUGGAAAAGCAAAAGGCAGAAACCAAAACUAUUUAGAAAUUCUUUACUAAUUGAUGCAAGAAUUUACCCAUUCAAUACACCAUCCAAGAGCAAACACUUGUUUGAUUUCAUCUUGGGAGAGCUCAUCUUUGGGCUUGAGUAACACCAAAUUGUCAAUCAUUAAGAGACCUUGAUUUAAUUUUCUAAAUAUUUCUAUAAUUUUGUCCACUUCUAAAAGAAAAACACACUUCUAAGAGCUUUAAAAACUACUUUUUGUACACCCUAUUUGUAAAAUAAGAUUGGCAUUAUUAAUUUAUAUAUAUCAAACUAUUUAUCAUUUCAUAUUUUAUUUCCUCAUAAUUAUUAUCAUUUUUUAGAAUAGUAUGGUAGUUUCUCCCUCCUUAGGUUCUAGAAAGGAUAUUGAAAAUAUAGUAAACAUGAAUUGCUAUGUGAUUCACUCCAAACCUACAUAAAGAACAAAUAAAUGGUUAUAAAUACUAUGAAAAGAAUACCAUUUCAUUAGUUUCCUCUGUCUUCAUCUAGCAAAAGAUGUUGAGAGUUAAUGAGUGAAAAAUAUUAUGAAAAAUUAAUUCACUUACACUAGGGAGUGGGUUAUUCAUUAGCUCAUCUUUGUCUUGAAUAGCCCUUGUGCAACACUUAUGCCAAUACAUCUCCUAAAAUGUCUAGUUUUUGAGAAAUAAAAUAAAAUUUAAAUACCUCUUUUUAGUGUUGAGGACAUGAAAUGCCAUCCUAAAAAGAAUAAACAUUGUAAAUAAAUAGAACCAAUUUAGGGUUGCUUAAUCAGCUUGGUAAGACUUCCAAUUGUUCCUAAUGCAUAGGUAAAGUUGGUAGGAAAUCCUGAAAAUGCUUUGAGUAUUGCCCCUCAAAGUUUGCGUUGCAUUUCUUGGUUAUCACUUAAGUUAGUGUGCUUUAUUGGCAAGUGGAUUCUACAACUAUGAGCAACUAAUGCUAUUGUCUUUGUAGAGUGUUUUUAUUGCCUAUGAGCCCACUUUUUGCCGCAUACUUGCUCCUCCUUUGGCUUUUCCGCUUCUUCGAGAUUUUUUAAUGUUUGGAUUGCAUCCUCUAUUCUUGUUUUGAAGCUCUAAAAUGUCCCACUCUCAAUCUUCUUGAGGAAGUGUAAUGACACUCUAACCACACAAACACUUGUAAUGUAAUUGUGCAAUCCCCCAACAUAGCCCUUUCAAUCUUAUUAGGGUCACUAUCAUUUGUGGAGAAAACAUUUAUAGCCAUCCUUAUACAGUUAUUUAGUUUACAACAUGUUAAAAUUGUGUGGAUAUUGUAGUGGAUGAAAUGGUAAAUUUUAGCAAUAUAUAAUAAUAUUUCAUAUGAGAAUCCUAAACAAGAAAAUACUAAAAUCAGAAAAAAAAAAAAACACCUGUAAACACAACUAAUAUGUUAGAUAUGUAAGGUCAUAAGUUGGAUUUUCUCCAUAAACUUUAUAGCCUUGGAGAAGAGUAAAUGAUUCUUACCUAGCUUAAACAACCAAAUAUUUUUGGUGGAGGAAACAUAAUAAUAAAUGAAAGAAAAGAAAGAAAGUAAAGUGCCUAUAACAUUUUAUAUUCUAUACUUUUCUGAUGUUGCCUAUAAACCCAACACCAAAAAAUAUUGCAAAUUGAACUAUUUAUCUACUCUACCUCUACUAUGAACUCAUGAAGUGAGGACUUAGAAACUACAUGGAAAACUAAUUUUAUAUCUAUAUCAUGGUAGCACUAAAAAAGUCUAUUUCACUUCCAAUUUUAUAAGUAUGCUUUGAAAGAAUCAAUGUUAUACAUGGCUGAAAAACCAUAUGCAUGGGAGAUUGUUACAAAAAAGUGAUAAAAAGUAAAUAAAUUUUUUAUAUUUUGCCAAACAUUAUUCUGAGAAUAAAUGUGAAAAUUAGAAAAUAAUCAAAUCUUUCUGUAUAAUCAAUUUAAUCUCAGUUACAUUUUUUUUUUAACUUUUAUAUACCACCAUUGGAACCAUACCAUCUUUGGUUUGCUUAAGCAAACGGUAGGGGGACUGAAAUGGUAGUGAAUAAACAUAGAAUAUGCUUGAAUAUUUUAGAAUAUUCUACCAUCUAACAGUUGUUAUUUAUUUAGAUUAAUCUUAUAAUUUAUAAACAUGUUUAUAAUUUAUAAACUUUCUUAAACACUUUUUAGUAUAUUCUUUUUUCUUCUACCUGCAAUAAGAUUAAUAUUGUGUUUUAUAAAUAUGUCUAUAAUUUUAAAUUUUUAUUUAAUCAAUUGGAUUAAUAAGUAAGAAUAAUACUACUAUUAAACAAAGUAAAUAUUGCUACAUGCAAUGCAUAGCAAAUUUUUCUGACAGCUACCUGAAACUGAUAGAAAAACAAAAAAAAAAACAAUGUAUGGAAAGAAAACUAGUGUUGUGGUUAAGCUUGAGCAUCUUUAGUAAGGAGAUAUAGUACUCACUUCCAUGACAAAGAUAGCCUCCUUGACAGCCUCGAGGGAGAUGGCACAGGCUCCUCUGGAGGCAGCAGAGGAGACUACUACUGUUGACUUCCCAGCCAAGAUGAGAGCCAACUGCAAAGAUUUCCUGCUCGAGAGCAUCCUGAGAUGCAAAUCUGACUAUCCUCUGGUGAGGCUCAAGGGGGACUUCCAGCAGCACUACACUGGAUCACGUGUGGUAUGGCUUCAAGAAGCUGGAAACUUUCCUGGACUUUGCUGGAGCUGCUCAUAGGCAUUUGGACGGGGUCGGGUGGCCAGAAGCUUCUCCACUUGAAGUAGUUGGAAGAUAACGAGAUCAAGGGCAAGGACAACAUCAAGAACACGUGCUUCUGUUCUUGACGAGGAGGAGGAGCUUGACGAGGUUGCAAUGACUCUGGAACCAGAGGAAGAAAAGAAGAAGAAAGAAAAGGCAAUGGUGGAUGUGAAGAAGUGGAAGAAAGCUACCACGGCUAGUGUCCAGGAAACAUGGAAAGCCCAGCCUCCCGCAAGCAAUGCCAAGGCGCAAGGAGUGAACAAGAGUAGCAGCAGUGGCAAGCUCAAGAUGGGGGGUGGAAAGCUAAGCGUGCAGCUCCCGCCUUGUUUGAGGCUCUGUUUCACAGAGAAUGUGGCUGAGAGUAGCCUCGCUUUCAAGACCUCCAAUCCAUAUGGUGUGACUUGAGCUGCGAAUUUUCGUUAGUACAGUGGACUAACGCUGACUACUAUCAGUCAAUGCUAUCCCAUUACUGUUCUAAUGAGCUCAUUCUUAUGAAUCCAUUGAUGUGCUUAUAAAGCUGGUAAAUAAUUAGUGACUAUCGUUGACUUCUAUGACUACUAUAACCUACUACUUACGAUAAGAAAUGCUAUUGAAAGUUUAUAUUUUUAAAAACAGGAAAUUAAAUGUCCAAAGUGUUUGUUUGAGACUUGCAAUAUAAUCUCCCAAUUCAAUAUCUCUCUGUUGUCUUAAUGAAAUGAAAAGUUGUUGUCUUGUUGCCUUGUUUGAAACUUGCAAAUCAUAAUCUCCUGAUUCAAAUGCCUCCAGACUUCUCCAUCUGUUAUAAUUUCGAUUGAAUACCACGGACCUGCCUUUGCCUGUUGCGGUUUUAAAAAACCGAAGUAAUUUGUUUCAUGAAUCUUCAUUCUGUGCCUGCAACCUCAAGCGUAUCAUCAGUCCAAAACGAGCGAAAAGCGUACCUCCUUUCGCUCUAAGCUCCGUCGAGCUCAAGCUUAACCUCCGAGGUGGAAGGCUAGUUCAAGCAGAAGUUAUACUUUAACUCGAGGCAUGGAGACUGUUUACCUUGGCAUCUGAGUCGUGUACACGAGCAGCCAAAUGCGAACCUCCAGAAUUGGCCGAGUGAUUUGCCUCAACCACUGGCUUCUCCAGAUUCUCCACCUCACGGAUCCUAAAAGUGCUCCAUUAGUCACUGGUUCUAUCUCUCAAGCAUGAAGACUUACCUGUGGGAGUGCUUGUUGCCAGGCCUCCUCAUCCCAAACUCGGUGAUCCUUUGCAUGUGCUUCUCCAUCUCAACUCGCUUCUCCGCUGCUGUCGCAAGCCGAACAACGAAAGCAUCUCCAGGAUCGAACACAGUGCCACGAUGAGACACUGGAUCCAAAGCCUGUUCCUGGGCUCUUCGAUCAUUGCCGCUCCGACGAGCAGCACUCGACAAGAAUGGAUCCUCCGGGAGAGAAGCUCUUGGCACCUUCUUGUGCUCGUCGACUCCGUGGAUCGCUGCUGGUGGAUCUCGUCCCAAUGGCGGCGUCAGGCGGUCGUCAACCGAAUCGGUAGCAGCACCAUAGAUUGGAUUCAUCUUGAGAAAAGCCGAAGGUGGCAGCCGCCUUGGAGGCCUCGCGAGUGGAGGACUGGCCACCUUUGUGCUGGGAUUUAGCUGCGACGGUCGAAGGUGCUGCUCGCUCCUCUCUUGAACGAAGGAAUUGAGCUUGUCCCGGAGCUCUGCGUCCUCAAUCUUGCUCAAGGGAACGAGAUACUCUCGCUGACUGCCGCUGCUGCUGCUGCCACCGCCAGGAAGAUGGCUGCUCCCGACGUAGCGCACCAGGAUGUUGUUCGCCUUCUUUCUUCUUCCCUUCACGAGUAUCCAGAUGCCAGUGAUGAUGGCCACCAUAGCAAGCAGGAAAAGGACGAUGCCUGCCACAAGCAGCCCCGGUGUCGCAAACGCUGCCGCUGCUGCUGCUGCUGUUGAUGAUGACGACCCCAGAGGCGGAGCAAUAGACAAGGGGCCAGGCGGAGGCGGCGAUGAAAACGUGUGAAAGACAGGCGACCCUGGUUGCCAUGUUAUCGUGUCAUGAGCGGGCCUGGCCACCAAGUGGUUGUCCCAGAAGAAGGUGGCGGCCCUGUAUGCUCCUUUGCUGGUGGAGGUGGCGGCGGCCCAAACCUCCUUGGUCGCCAAGUGGUUGUCCCGGAAGAAGGUGGCGGCCCUGUAUGCUGCUUUGCUGGUGGAGGUGGGUGCUGCUUUGCUCCUCCUCCGUGGCUGUGCUGCUUUGCUGCUCCGUGGCUUGCUGGUGGCGGUGGCGGACUGUGCUGGUGCUGCUUUGGUGCUCCAUGGUUUGUUGGUGGCGGACUGUGCUGGUGCUGCUUUGCUGCUCCGUGGCUUGCUGGUGGAGGUGGCGGACUGUGCUGGUGCUGCUUUGCUGCUCCAUGGCUUGUUGGUGGCGGACUGUGCUGGUGCUGCUUUGCUGCUCCGUCGCUUGCUGGUGGAGGUGGCGGCCUGUGCUGGUGCUUCUUUGCUGCUCCAUGGCUUGCUGGUGGAGGUGGCGGACUGUGCUGGUGCUUCUGUGCUGCUCCGUGGCUUGCUGGUGGAGGUGGCGGACUGUGCUGGUGCUUCUUUGUUGCUCCGUGGCUUGUUGGUGGCGGACUGUGCUGGUGCUUCUUUGCUGCUCCAUGGCUUGUUGGUGGAGGUGGUGGUGCUCCAUGGCUGUCCUGCUUUGCAGGUGGUGCUCCUCCAUGGCUGUGCUGCUUUGCUGCUCCAUGGUGUUGCUCUGCUGGUGCUGGUGGAGGUGCCUGACUGUGGGCUCUGCUGUGAGGUGGCGGAGCUCCUCUCGCCCUCCUUGGCGAUGGUUUGGGGGGCGGCAUGCUACCUGGAGGUGGCACUCUCGUUUUGGGCGGUGUCGCGCUCCUGUGCCCUGGACGAGGCGGAUGCACGCUCCUGUGCGCAGCUGGAGGCGGCGCCCGACGAGGUGGAGACGACGGCGGCACACUCCGACGGAUGAUGCUAGCCAUAUUUCUUGCUUACCGGAUUCGCUUCCGAGAAACCUUUUUUUUAGGUCAUGAAGGUUUAGUGCAUAUAAAUGAUUCUUGUACGGACGCAUUAUCUGCAGCGCUUUAAAGUUAUGAUGUCCAGUUUUUGCGAUCAUGAUGGAAGCAAUAUCACUGUUCGGAAUCUCUUUCUUUCAUUAUCACAUAAUGCUCAUUUGGUUCUUCCCCCAAAAAAACCGGAGCUCGUUGAUAAACUCUCAGGCUCAAUUCUAGGAGGAAGAGCAAAGAUGAGAAUGGUCGUUCACCACGAUGCAAUGCUCCGUGCGUAAGAAUUUAAUCAAAAUCUCCACUCUGGAAGCUUAUGUUGUUUGAAAAUUCUUUUCAUUGCGUUUUAGGCGUCAAAGAUCGUGUAUUGUGACCUUAUCGACACACACAAAAGAGAGACAGCCCAUAGCAAUGGUUUUUAUAGUUGAAUUUGCUUUGAUGGUGAUUCUCGGAAUCACUCUUCAAUGGGCGACAUGGAUCUGGGGCUAAAGAAAUUGAUGUUUAAUAUUUGAUCAUAGACUUAAAUUACCACUAUAUUUAUAGCUUCAUUUUUGGACUUAAAAUUUAGUCGUACUACAUAUUUUUGGUUUAUAACUAUUAUAAUUGACUUAAAUUUUAGUCACAAUUAACUACUAAACAUAACGACUAUAUUUUUUGUUUUAUAACCAUUAUAAAUUACUUAAAAUUUAGUCAUAAAUUGGAACUGCAAAUGUCAACUUAAGAAAUUUUUUAAUUCUGACUUUAAAGCUAGUAAGAAAUAAUGACUACUACAAAUAACUGCAUAUUUUAACUUUUGUGUCUUAAAUUGUAGUUACAAUAUCAAUGGAAAGCUUAAUGACAAAAAUUUAAGUUGUAUAGCAAAUUAAUGCAAUAACUUAAAACUAAGUUGGGCUCGUGUAGUAAUGGACGAUCUUGUUUGUGUCAGGCACAUUUUACAACAAUGAGCCAACUGCCUGAUUGGGGGAGGAUGAUGCUGGAUCGAAAGGAGUUCCCCCAAUCAGGAUCUAGAUCACCCAAUAGGAGCUUGAUGCUUCAUACUGGAUUGUUGCCAAUGUCCAGGCUGCUAAGCCCAUGUAAGCUUGAUGCUACUGGGAAUUCAUACUCAAUUGGGAGUGUCCAGCCCUAACCACCAAGCUUGUGACACAUAAUCGAUGCCAAAAUUCUUCCACACAUACGCAAUCUUGCCAUAGACACCUUGCUUGAUGUUUGUGGAGAAGAUGUUGUGGACGUGGAAGAAGGCCUUGGUGAGGGACUUGCUUAACGUUUGGGUUGACAAAGCACAGCAUAGGCUGAGAGGAAGCUAAAGAACCAUAGCUGAACACUCACCUGGAACUUGGGGACAGCCAUGAAUGAGGAUGUGAAGCUCCUUCCUGAGCUGUAGGAUGACUUUCAAAGUAAAGGAAACACUUUACUGACAAGCACAAAUUCUCACAUCAUGAUGAAACAAGAAGAGCUCAAUCAAUGACCUAUGAUAACAAGAUAGCUGGAACAAGAAGUUAGUAUGUAUAUUCCAAAAUACCCAAUCCUUGUGAUGGCCAAAAGUGUCAUAAUAAAAAUUUAGAAGACCUCAAAUGAGCAGAUAUAUGCAGCUUUUGUUGGAUUUGAUGGGGACACAUUUAGCACAAGAAAAGUGAAGAAUAUUUAGAGCUAAAUCAUCGUCAAUGCUCCACAUAUGACAAUACUAAUGAUGAAACAAAAUGACAAACUCAUAUAAUAGUUGGCAGAAACAAGGAGCAGCGAAAGAAGCACUCCUUCUUUUGGCACUUGCAAUGUUUUUCUAGAAAGAACAAUAGAACUCUUUGCAAGGUAAUCAAACUGUAUUCAUAAAGUAAUAAACUCCAAAACACCUUGUAAGUGAGUACUCUUUUCUUGAUUAAUAGUACACAAAAUUCUUCUAUAGCUUGUUUGUUCAUACUCUAGGAAAGCUACCUACAUUAACCAGUAGCUAAAGAGAGAAGUACCUAAGCAAAAUACUCAUUGCAAGGCCCUAGUUAUUGUACACUUUCUUCACCUCCUUGACAUAGGCGUUUUCUUUUUUGCCAUAAUUGCUCUUUAGUCUUGCUUUCUGGCUAGCAUCUGCUAGUUCAAUAGCUCUUGGAUAUUUGUUCCAACCUGGACAAUUCAAUGAGCUUGACAUGAAGGACAAAACAGCAAAGAACAAACCUUGCCAAUAAACGUUAGGAUGUUUAUAACAAUCUAAGAAAUCAUCUUGCAGGGGCCAAUUCCAUCAACAACCAAAGGUAAUGAACAAGGACCUGAAUUUAAAAACAGAUUCAAACUUGGAGUUGUCACUCUUGUUUGAUAUAUACAAAGCACAAGCAACAUGUAUUCUCAUAUGACUUCAAUGACUUGAUUUAUAAUGUCACUCUUGCUUGCCAGAAGAUAGAAAGAAUAAAACACUGUCUUGAACUUCACAAUCCUGAGAUAGUUGCAUAGACAAACAUUAUGGAUAUUUAUGGAAUCAAAUAAAACUUAUAUUUCCAUCAUGUAUUUGGACAAAUCAACCUUCCUGGCUGGUUUGCAAUGUAAUCAGAUCAACACACCUCAUCAAAAAGUUCACGGAGAUCAAAGUAGUACCACUGACUAUGGAAAUACUUCCUUAAAAUCUUAGGUACAUGGUUUGUAAGCAAUAAUGCAUUAUUCACAACAAUGAUACCCACCUAAUCACAAAGGAAGAUUGUAUCAUAGCUCAUCAAUAAAAUUCAUGUACUGUUGUAUGAAUCAUCCAUUAUAUCAUCCAUUACUAGGAAGUAAACUUGUAGCUUUGCAUGGAAAAGCAAAAGGCAGAAACCAAAACUAUUUAGAAAUUCUUUACCAAUUGAUGUAAGAACUUACCCAUUCAAUACACCAUCCAAGAGCAAAUGCUUGCUUGAUUUCAUCCUGGGAGAGCUCAUCUUUGGACUUGAGUAACACCAAAUUGUCAAUCACUGAGAGACCUUGAUUUAAUUUUCUAAACAUUUCUAUAAUUUGUCCACUUCUAAAAGAAAAACACACUUCUAAGAGCUCUAAAAACUACCUUUUGUACACCUCUAUUUGUAAAAUAAGAUUGGCAUUAUUAAUCUAUAUAUAUCAAACUAUUUAUCAUUUCAUAUUUUAUUUCCUCAUAAAUAACUGGAAUGAUAGUGAAUAUAUGGUAGUUUCUCCCUCCUCAGGUUCUAGAAAGNNNNNNNNNNNNNNNNNNNNNNNNNNNNNNNNNNNNNNNNNNNNNNNNNNNNNNNNNNNNNNNNNNNNNNNNNNNNNNNNNNNNNNNNNNNNNNNNNNNNNNNNNNNNNNNNNNNNNNNNNNNNNNNNNNNNNNNNNNNNNNNNNNNNNNNNNNNNNNNNNNNNNNNNNNNNNNNNNNNNNNNNNNNNNNNNNNNNNNNNNNNNNNNNNNNNNNNNNNNNNNNNNNNNNNNNNNNNNNNNNNNNNNNNNNNNNNNNNNNNNNNNNNNNNNNNNNNNNNNNNNNNNNNNNNNNNNNNNNNNNNNNNNNNNNNNNNNNNNNNNNNNNNNNNNNNNNNNNNNNNNNNNNNNNNNNNNNNNNNNNNNNNNNNNNNNNNNNNNNNNNNNNNNNNNNNNNNNNNNNNNNNNNNNNNNNNNNNNNNNNNNNNNNNNNNNNNNNNNNNNNNNNNNNNNNNNNNNNNNNNNNNNNNNNNNNNNNNNNNNNNNNNNNNNNNNNNNNNNNNNNNNNNNNNNNNNNNNNNNNNNNNNNNNNNNNNNNNNNNNNNNNNNNNNNNNNNNNNNNNNNNNNNNNNNNNNNNNNNNNNNNNNNNNNNNNNNNNNNNNNNNNNNNNNNNNNNNNNNNNNNNNNNNNNNNNNNNNNNNNNNNNNNNNNNNNNNNNNNNNNNNNNNNNNNNNNNNNNNNNNNNNNNNNNNNNNNNNNNNNNNNNNNNNNNNNNNNNNNNNNNNNNNNNNNNNNNNNNNNNNNNNNNNNNNNNNNNNNNNNNNNNNNNNNNNNNNNNNNNNNNNNNNNNNNNNNNNNNNNNNNNNNNNNNNNNNNNNNNNNNNNNNNNNNNNNNNNNNNNNNNNNNNNNNNNNNAUAUCCACGCAAUUUUGACAUGUUGUAAGCUAAAUAUAUUUAGCUUACAACAUCUCAAAAUUGUGUAAAUAUUAUAGUGGAUGCAAUGGUAAAUUUUAGCAAUAUAUAAUAAUAUUGCAUACGUAAACAACAAAAUACUAAAAUCAGAUUAAAAACACCUGUAAACACAACUAAUAUGUUAGAUAUGUAAGGACACAAGUUGGAUUUUCUCCAAAACUUUAUAGCCUUAGAGAAGAGUAAAUAAUCCUUGCCUAGCUUAAAUAGCCAAAUAUGUUUGGUGGAGUAAACAUAAUAAUAAAUGAAAGAAAGGAAAACAAAUAAAGUGCCUAUAACUUUCUAUAUUCUAUACUUUUCUGAUGUUGCUUAUAAACUCAACACCAAAAUAUAUUGCAAAUUGAACUAUUUAUCUCUUCUACUUCUAUCAUGAAUUCAUGAAGUGAGGACUUAGAAACAACAUGGAAAACUAAUUUUAUAACUAUAUCAUGGUAGUGCUAAAAUUUUUUAUUUCAAUUCCAAUUUUACAAGUAUGCUUUGAAAGAAUCAAUGUUAUAUAUGGCUGAAAAACCAUAUAUGUGGGAGAUUGUUACAAAAAAGUGGUAAAAAGUAAAUAAACUUUUUAAAAUUUUCAUUUAUAAAAAUCAACUAUAUUUAUGCCAAACAUUAAUCUGAAAAUAAAUGUUAAAAUUAGAAAAAUAAUCAAAUAUUUUUGUAUAAACAAUUUAUCUCAGUUACUUAUAUUUUUUAGCUUUUAUAUACCACUAUUGGAACCAUACCAUUUUUGGUUUGCUUAAGGGGGACUGGAAUGAUAGUGAAUAUACUUAGAAUAUCCUUGGAUAUUCUAAGAUAUUCUACCAUCUAAUGGUUGUUAUUCAUUUAGAUUAAUCUUGUAUUUAUAAUUAUAAACUUGUUUAUAAUUUAUAAACUUUCUUAAACACUUUUUAGUAUAUUCUUUUUUAUUCUCCCAUCUAAUGGUUGAUAUGCAAUAUGAUUAAUCUUGUGUUUAUAAAUUAUAAAUAUGUUUAUAAUUAUAAUCAUUUGGAUUAAUAAGUAAGAAUAAUACUACUAUUAAGAAAAUUAAAUGUUGCUACAUAGCAAAUUUGUGUAAUAGCUACCUGAAACCUAUAUAAAAACUAAAAAAAAACCAUGUAUGGAAAGAAAACUAGUGUUGUGGUUAAGCUUGAGCAUCUUUAGUAAGGAGAUAUAGUACUCACUUCCACAACAAAGAUAGCCUCCUUGACAGCCUCGAGGGAGAUGGCACAGGCUCCUCUGGAGGGAGCAGCCAUUGCCAAAGGGUACUACUGUCAACUUCCCAGCGAAGAUGAGAGCCAACUGAAAAGAUUUUCUGCUUGACAACAUCCCAAGAUGCAAAUCUGACUAUCCUCUGGUGAGGCUCAAGGGGGACUUCCAGGAGCACUUGGUAUAGCUUCAAGAAACUUGAAACUUUCCUGGACUUUGCUGGAGCUGCUCAUAGGCAUCAGGACGGGGUCGGGCGGCCAGAAGCUUCUCCACUUGAAGGAGUUGGAAGAUAACAAGAUCAAGGGCAAGGACAACAUCAAGAACACGUGCUUCUGUUCUUGACGAGGAAGAGGAGCUUGACGAGGUUGCACCAGAGGAAGAAAAGAAGAAGAAAGAAAAGGCAAUGGUGGAUGUGAAGAAGUGGAAGAAAGCUACCACGGCUAGUGUCCAGGAAACAUGGAAAGCCCAGCCUCCCGCAAGCAAUGCCAAGGCGCAAGGAGUGAACAAGAGUAGCAGCAGUGGCAAGCUCAAGAUGGGGGGUGGAAAGCUAAGCGUGCAGCUCCGCCUUGUUUGAGGCUCUGUUUCACAGAGAAUGUGGCUGAGAGUAGCCUCGCUUUCAAGACCUCCAAUCCAUUAUCCAUGAUGGAUUGAUUGAUUAUCAUGGUGUGACUUGAGCUGCGAAUUUUCGUUAGUAGGGUGGACUAACGCUGACUACUAUCAGUCAACGCUGCUCAUUACUGUUCUAAUGAGCUCAUUCUAAUGAAUUCAUUGAUGUGCUUAUAAAGCUGGUAAAGAAAUAGUGACUAACGUUGACUGCUAUGACUAGUAUAAUCUACUACUUACGAUAAGAAAUGUUAUUGAAAGUUUAUAUUUUUAAAAACAGGAAAUUAAAUGUCCAAAGUGUUUGUUUGAGACUUGCAAUAUAAUCUCCCAAUUCAAUAUCUCUCUGUUGUCUUAAUGAAAAGUUGUUGUCUUGUUGCCUUGUUUGAGACUUGCAAAUCAUAAUCUCCUAAUUCAAAUGCCUCCAGACUUCUCCAUCUGUUAUAAUUUUGAUUCAAUACCACGGACCUGCCUGUGCCUGUUGCGGUUUAAAAAAACCGAAGUAAUUUGUUUCAUGAAUCUUCAUUCUGUGCCUGCAACCUCAAGCGUAUCAUCAGUCCAAAACGACCGAAAAGCGUACCUCCUUUCGCUCUAAGCUCCGUCGAGCUCCAGCUUAACCUCCGAGGUGGAAGGCUAGUUCAAGCAGAAGUUAUACUUUAACUCGAGGCAUGGAGACUGUUUACCUUGGCAUCUGAGUCGUGUACACGAGCAGCCAAAUGCGAACCUCCAGAAUUGGCCGAGUGAUUUGCCUCAACCACGGGCUUCUCCAGAUUCUCCACCUCACGGAUCCUAAAAGUGCUCCAUUAGUCACUUGUUCUAUCUCUCAAGCAUGCGGGCCGAACAACGAAAGCAUCUCCAGGAUCAAACACAGUGCCACGACGAGACACUGGAUCCAAGCCUGUUCCUGGGCUCUUCGAUCAUUGCCGCUCCGACGAGCAGCACUCGACAAGCAUCUCCAGGAUCAAACACAGUGCCACGACGAGACACUGGAUCCAAAGCCUGUUCCUGGGCUCUUCGAUCAUUGCCGCUCCGACGAGCAGCACUCGACAAGAAUGGAUCCUCCGGGAGAGAAGCUCUUGGCACCUUCUUGUGCUCGUCGACUCCGUGGAUCGCUGCUGGUGGAUCUCGUCCCAAUGGCGGCGUCAGGCGGUCGUCACUCCACUUGCGAGGCCUCCAAGGCGACUGCCAGCUUUGGCUUUUCUCAAGACGAAUCCAAUCUAUGGUGCUGCUACAGAUUCGGUUGACUGGCCACCUUUGUGCUGGCAUUUAGCUGCGACGGUCGAAGGUGCUGCUUGCUCCUCUCUUGAACGAAGGAAUCGAGCUUGUCCCAGAGCUCUGCGUCCUCAAUCUUGCUCAAGGGAACGAGAUACUCUCGCUGACUGCCGCUGCUGCUGCUGCCACCGCCAGGAAGAUGGCUGCUUCCGACGUAGCACACCAGGAUGUCGUUCGCCUUCUUUCUUCUUCCCUUCACGAGUAUCCAGAUGCCGGUGAUGAUGGCCACCAUAGCAAGCAGGAAAAGGACGAUGCCUGCCACAAGCAGCCCCGGUGUCGCAAACGCUGCCGCUGCUGCUGCUGCUGUUGAUGAUGACGACCCCAGAGGCGGAGCAAUAGACAAGGGGCCAGGCGGAGGCGGCGAUGAAAACGUGUGAAAGACAGGCGACCCUGGUUGCCAUGUUAUCGUGUCAUGAGCGGGCCUUGGCCACCAAGUGGUUGUCCCAGAAGAAGGUGGCGGCCCUGUAUGCUCCUUUGCUGGUGGAGGUGGGUGCUGCUUUGCUCCUCCUCCGUGGCUGUGCUGCUUUUCUGCUCGCUUGCUGGUGGCGGUGGCGGACUGUGCUGGUGCUGCUUUGCUGCUCCAUGGCUUGUUGGUGGCGGACUGUGCUGGCGCUGCUUUGCUGCUCCGUGGCUUGCUGGUGGAGGUGGCGGACUGUGCUGGUGCUUCUUUGCUGCUCCGUGGCUUGUUGGUGGCGGACUGUGCUGGUGCUUCUUUGCUGCUCCAUGGCUUGUUGGUGGAGGUGGUGGUGCUCCAUGGCUGUCCUGCUUUGGAGGUGGUGCUCCUCCAUGGCUGUGCUACUUUGCUGCUCCAUGGUGUUGCUUUGCUGGUGCUGGUGGAGGUGCCUGACUGUCGGCGCUGCUGUGAGGUGGCGGAGCUCCUCUCGCCCUCCUUGGCGAUGGUUUGGGGGGCGGCAUGCUACCUGGAGGUGGCACUCUCGUUUUGGGGGGUGUCGCGCUCCUGUGCCCUGGACGAGGCGGAUGCACGCUCCUGUGCGCAGCUGGAGGCGGCGCCCGACGAGGUGGAGACGACGGCGGCACACUCCGACGGAUGAUGCUAGCCAUAUUUCUUGCUUACCGGAUUCGCUUCCGAGAAACCUUUUUUUUAGGUCAUGAAGGUUUAGUGCAUAUAAAUGAUUCUCGUACGGACGCAUUAUCUGCAGCGCUUUAAAGUUAUGAUGUCCAGUUUUUGCGAUCAUGAUGGAAGCAAUAUCAGUGUUCGGAAUCUCUUUCUUUCAUUAGCACAUAAUGCUCAUUUGGUUCUUCCCCCAAAAAAACCGGAGCUCGUUGAUAAACUCUCAGGCUCAAUUCUAGGAGGAAGAGCAAAGAUGAGAAUGGUCGUUCACCACGAUGCAAUGCUCCGUGUGUAAGAAUUUGAUCAAAAUCUCCACUCUGGAAGCUCAUGUUCUUUGAAAAUUCUUUUCAUUGCGUUUUAGGCCUCAAGAGAACUGCUGGCCCUUUCGAUCCAGCAUCAUCGGGGGAGCCGAUGAGGCAGUUGGCUCCAUCAUCGGCCGCAGCGCCACGCUUGUCUCGCCCAGCGUCCGCUACAAGGCGAGGAUGCAGCACGACUGUAACUUUGUGCUCUAGGACACUUACCGCGACACGAACAAGGUGGUGUGGGCACACUGGAUGCUCCCAUGCCCUGUCUAAACAUUUUGCCCCAUUUUCCACAUGAUUGAGAUUCCAAAUCUGAUAUUUACCUGGAUGGUCACGCCUAGCUCAACUUCUUUUUGCACUGGGUAUUUACUUGAAUGUACGUUGGAGUUAUAAUUAUUUACUUAUUGUAAAGUCUACAAAAUAAAUACACUAGUUAUGGUAUAAGUAGCAAAUAGCUGAUAUUUAGGGUUCUUGGGAUUUUAUUAGGUUGCCCAUACCAGGAAUAUUCGUAAGCUCUUCAUUGAUUCUUUUUCCCCAGAAUAUUCUUUGUGCGUUUUGGACAUUCCUUGCCUUCUAGCGCGCAAUCUGGCGCUUGGCCUGAUCAAUCUGUCCCAGCGAUUCAUCCGGGGCGCGCUGCUCGUCACUCCCGAGCUUCUCCUGCGCGGAUCGGACGAGCCCCCCAGCCGCCUCGUCGUGCUCCCGGGCUACCUCGUUUGGCUGCGAGGCAUGGUGCUUGCCCGAAAGCCCCUUCUUGGCGCCCUCGAAUUCGUCCUUGAGCAUAGCCUUGGCGUCGUCCAGGCCGCUCCGUCCCUCGCCCUCAUCGUCACCUGCGCUGCCGGAUUUCGCUUUCUCUGCCUGCUCAUAUUUCUCUUUGAGGGCCUGCUGCGCGGCGUCUAGGGGCGUUCCAACCUCGGACAGCUCCCUGCAUUAAACGAGGGAUCAAACAAGAGAAAGAAUCACUCUCCCUGAUAGAUCAUCGAUCACACAAGAGCUCGAUAACUCACUCGGAGGAGUUGAGAUCUCCAAUCCGCUACGUAUGCAAAGACGCGAUUGUCGUCAAACAACAACACAAAGACAAAUCAAAAGGAUCUUACCUCGCCUGACGACAUGAUCGCACCGAUUGAUCCAGAGAAAGAAAGAGCCGCAACGAAAGUUUAUGCUGUUCGAUCGAACUAGUUGGCUAAGCGACACCUGGUUUACACCACGUGUCUAGCAUAGAUGACUUUUAUUGACCAAAGACUAUUGAGCAUGCUAAAUUAGCUUAUAUAUACCGAAUGUAUCUCGCACACCGGACCAGUGGAGUUUCGAUUCGGGGAGAGAUCUGGUGCUUCUCUAGCACUGGAGAAGAGAGAGCUUUGGGGGAGCGAUGGAGGUGCAAGCAGCUGGCCAUAAUGUUGCAAUGGUUUUAAAGAGGGUAGGACAAUCGCUGGGCAUGGACUCGGUUAUCUCUUUGCGUAGUGUAAAUCUGUGAACACAGUUUGCUUGCUGGUAGGAAUGGGGGCAGUUUAGCGCUUGGCGACAACUUUCUUGUCUAACAGAAUGACCUCCGAGAAGUGCAAAAGACUUUGUACCAGGUCCGAUGCCCAUGACCUUCAUAAACAGUUAACUAUUUAUCUGUUCUGGGAUCAAAUGGCAGUCCUAACUUAGAACCCCAGGAUGCCCACCUAGUACAGUACGGCUAUGGUGUUCUAUGGUGGAGCCCGUACCAGGGAACCCGGCAUAAGCGAACCUGGCAUACCUUUAUUGGUUCUAGAAAAAUGUUCAAAUGCCAGGUAAGCAAUAAUACCUUGUUUUUCAAAUUAAUAGAGUAAUACUUAGUUUAGAAUAUUUGUAACAAAUCUGGGUCGAUCCAGCCUUUGGCAGCCGUCGGAUCAAAUCAGGUUCUCAGUGAGAACAUGGCUCACAACUGCCAGGUUCUCCAGAACCCAGCUGCCAGUUGCCAGUUCUGGAGAGAACCCUCUCAUCCUUAAAUAGCAUUAUUCCACGUGUCCAUUAGCAGUAGGCCGUUCCCUAGUCAUUCUCAAGAACCCAGCUGCCACCUAGGUUCUGAACAACCCUCUCAUCCUCAAAUAACGUUAUUCAUUAAGAGUUUUGCCACAGCCUGUUAAGGCCGUGGCUCGCCUAUUCUGGACGGGAACUCCUUUUUCAUACACAAUUAUCUAGAACUAUACAGCUCAUGUCACAUAUUUUUAUUGCCAGCUAUGUAAUAAUACAAGUUCUUCAGACCCACGUCACAUACUUAAAUACGUAAGCAAUUCAGCCAGAUGUUCUAUUGGAUAUUCUGACUGGAAAAAAUUAAAUUAUAUGUUAAAAGAGCGUAAGCGUGAAAAACGUGUGAGCUAACAAACAAAACAGCCACUGUUGGCAUCGACGACUCAUUGAUGCUACAUAAACUGCGAGCAAGAGAGUUUCUCAAACCAAGUCCUCUCUUUUCUAGCUUGGAGGAGAGUGAGAGUUUACAAAGUCUAGCUAGAUACUUGGUCACUCGAGAGCUUGUUCAGCUAGUUCUUAGAAAAGCAGCCGCUCGCAAGCUUUUUAAGAGUUCUCUGUCUAGAUACUUAAAAGCGUAGCUACAGCGAGAGCGAGUGUUGCCUUAGAAUCGAUCGAAAGCUUCGCUUACCCCGAAUGGCUCUAGCUGCGAAGUGGCGAUCCGUCCAAGGUCAGGAUCACUGGGAAGGCAUGCUGGAGCCUCUGGACAAGGACCUGUGCCAGGAGCUCAUCCGCUACGCGCAGUUCAUCCAAGUGGUCUACGACUCGCUCAACAAGAACCCCGUCUCCAAGGCCAAUGGCCUGUCGCGCUAUGCCAAGUCGGAGCUCUUCGACAAGCUUCACGUCAAGGCCAAUUACACCAUCCGGAACUUCUUCUACUGCACCACCGAUCUCGAGACUCUGCUGGGCAAAGUCGUAGAGACAGUCCUCGACUUCACGGACCCAAACACUUCUUGGUUUGGAUACGUUGCCGUGUCGGACGACGAAGAAACUCGGAGGCUCGGCCGGAGGGACAUCGUCGUGGUCUUUCGAGGCACGCAGCAGGACAUCGAAUGGGCCAGCAACAUACUUAACUCGUUCCACGGCCAGAUAGGCAAGCCGGAGCCUAAGUCCGGCCUUCCACCGCUCCAAACUCCGACUUCUACUCCCACAGGGUUCCUGUCCGGCCUCACCAACAUUCAGCUUCCCUGGGAGAAGGUCCUUAUCGCGAACCGCUGGCUGGCACCUUACACCGGGAAGAACCCCCAGGAGCCUCUUGGUUUCGGGAAGAAGUCGGCCAGAGAGCAGAUCUCCGCGGCUGUGACCUCGCUCCUCAACGAGUACAAGGCCGAGGAGAUGAGCAUCACUGUCACCGGACACAGCCUCGGUGCGUCACUGGCGACUGUUUGCGCGUAUGAUAUCGCCAAUGAGAAGUUGAACGUGAAUCCUUCCACGAAGAAAGUCAUCCCCGUCACUUGUUUCCCUUUCGCUUCUCCUUACGUUGGCAACGAGGAGUUCAAGACCGCUGCCGAGAAGAUCGAAGGCCUCCGGAUCCUGAGAGUGACCAACAUCUGGGACCUGGUUCCAAAGGUGCCACCGCUGCUCUGGGGAUACAGGCACGUCGGGAUAGAGCUCACCAUCGAUACUUCCAAGUCGAGCUAUCUCAAGUUUCCGACCACGGACCCUUUCGAUCACCACAAUCUUCAAGCGCAUUGCCAUCUCGUCGGUAACAAAGUGGAGCCGCUCAAGUACCACCACUUAGAGCUUGUGAACAAAUCGUCCAACCUCUUGAAGGAUUCUAUAGUUCCCGGUAACUGGUGGGUGGUGGAGAACACCGACGUUGUGGUGAACGAGGCUGGGCGAUGGGCACUCAAGGAGUACAACAUCAGUGCGGACAACAACGAGUAUAACUGAGAGAAGAAAGUGAGGUUUUUUCAGUGGUGUGCUCUACAACAAUAACUGGAAUAAUGCUCAGAAAUAAAAAAUCAGAAGUGUUUGGCUGUUCCUUGCAAAGCCCAUGUGAAGGGGCUUUAUAAAAAAUGACCAUUGCUCACUGUGAUGAAAAUAUCUCCUACGAGUUUGUUGGGAGGUCUUCUUCUUCCUUUUCACGCCUGCACACAAUUCUUGCAGAAAUGUAUUUUAUAAGCGACACACCACUGUCUUGCACAGUUUUUUUUAUCUUUGGAACUUUUCAUAUCAUGCUGGCACCAGCAUCCUAUCCUGAAAUACUUCCAGAUCUUUAUGAAGGAGGUGCAAAACAAAAACAAGAAAAACAAAAACAAGGCAAGAGAGCACCACAAACAAAAGAAAAACCAACAAAAAGAAAAUGUAUUCAUAGUUUUUGUAUGAAUUAUAUUAAAAAUAGAAAUUUUUAAUAAAAAGGAUAGUUCGUUGAUAUUUUUAUAUAGGGGUUUUUAUAUAAGUUCCACACUCCUUUACUAAACCUCCAACCAUUCUCAAGGUUGGAUUCUUCUUCUUGGGAGGUGCUUCUCCAAAAGGCAACCAUGCAGUGAAUCCAUUAGGUACAAGCUCUUGAUCUAACCUAUUUUCCCCCUCCCAUAAGAACAUCGUGAAACAGCUCGAUGGAUGUAACUGUGCUGCUUAGGUUUGCUCUUUCAGUCCCUCUCCAGCCUGAUAUGAAUCAAUAGUCAAGCCUUGAGCAUCAUGCUCCAGUCAGUCAGCCAUCUUCUUCACUCUCAGUGCGUCUCCAAGUAUUCCUGGAGUGGGAGUUCAGAUGAGAGCUUUGGUUUCUUCCUCUCUUCGUCCCCAAGAUACUUCGACCAAGAGCUCUACUGACCAUUGUGGCUUUCAAGCCUCUUGGAAGCCAUUUACGUUUGAAAGUGUCUAUUGCUAGUGAAUUAGAGCAGAAAGAGAUGAUCAGCAAGAAUGAAAACUUCUUUUAUUCCUGUUAUCCAUUUUGGCCUUGUAUGCCUUUUCCACACUUUGCCUCUCUUUCCUUUCUCUUGUUGUUCUCAAGGAUCUACUAACAUUCUCAAAAUGUAAGAGCUUGAUAGCUUACUUUAAGUUCAUUUAGGCACCGAACACCUCAACAUAGUUGCAUUCCCUCUCACAUAUUUUCUUGUGGUGCUCCAAAUCGUAUAUCAUCGUUGUCAAAACCUGAGAGGAGGACAACAUACAGUCAACUUUCAUACAUCACAAGCCAAAACUCUAGAACGUUGGAUUUCUGGAGGCUCUCCCAGAAAAAGAGGUUCACACAUGAAUCCAUAAAGAAUUAAAGAACAAUGAGAAAAUAUACAUGAAGAAGGAUUUAUUGUUCUCUCCAGGAUCUUAUCUCUUGUCUAGCUAGUGCAUUAUGGCCAGCAGCACAUCAUCAGUUGGGACCAUGAACCUAUCUCUGGCAACUUCUAAAACACCAGCACAAAUAGAAGAAGAAGCUAGUGUAGAAGUAAAGGAAGCAAUGGCUAAGUACCAACUGUAGAAGAACUCCUCCUUCUCUAGGUUGUUGAAGGUCAAAUAACUCAUCUUGAAUGAGCCAACGUGAUCAAACAGUGAGGCUCUCAUGGCACUUGAUGCUCAGCUUGCAGCAAGGCAAGCCCUAUGCACAAAAGACUCUGCCAAAUCUGAGAAGCAAUGGUGCUGGGAAAGCGUCAUAGCAUGAAGCUCCAGUCUCACAAAGAUUUUCUUCUUAUGCUAUUAAAUGAAUCAUGGAUUUUAGUUAUUACAAAUGAAAGUUUAAGGACCAUACCUUUUGUAUUAAAGAAUAAGGCCUGUAAAUACAUAUGUGCAUGUAUUACUCUACCUAAGUAAAAUGUUAAUUAUAAUACUAUAGCAUAUGGAAUGUCUAUUUAAGAUUUAAUCUAUCUAAUAAAGAAAAGUCUAAACCCCAAUUAAUAACUCACAUUGGUAUUACAAUUGUCUUUGAAGGGCAAAGCUUUUUGGUAGUGCUUUGUUUUAAUUUUCAGGAUUGUGCUUUUUGUUAUCCUUCAUUCUUUAUUAGAUUUAGAUCUAUAUUAGUUUUUUGCAAGAUCUAGAAUUCUAGUUAUCAUUAUGCUUAGAUUUACUUUUCCUUCUAAUCUUUAUUGCAUUUUCUUCUUUUGCCAUGCCAUGCUAUUAUCGAUCAAGGUGUAUGUCAUUUGAGGUUAUUGAUGCUACUCUGUUAAAUUGAACUUUUGGUGUUGUGGAGUGUGAUCAUAUUGCUAUUGUGGCCAUCCUUGAUAUGUUGCCAUCUCUAACUUCUAUGAGAUAUGAUUAUACGAUUUAUCUUGUUCUCGAUGUUCUACUAUUUCCCGUUGAUGUGGAGUAUGAUUAUGACAUUGAUUGGCAAGCUAUGAAUGAUGCAAUCUGGUUUUUAGAGAAUGUUCAAGAAUCAAAUUUAUGGGAAAAUAAUGUGUAUAAGCUCAAAUGGAUUUUAGAUUGUGAUGACAAGCUGUAAGACACAAAUCCCUGAGCUCCAAAAGUGGAGCCAAAAGGGUGCCACGUGGUAAUGGUCGAAAUAGAAGGCAAAUGUGUGUAACACAUAUAGACUAAAAGCUCCAACUCAAAAAGUCAAAAGCAGGAGUGGAACUCCUAACAAAGUGCUCAAGGAACGAGCACAAAGUGAGUAAUAAGUGAGUCUCUAAAAAAGGGACACAAAAGGACCAACAUAUGAUAUGUGGAAGUGUUUGAGAAGGAGUCUAAAAUGGAGUCCAAGAAAGAGUCUGAGAUGGAAUUUGAGAUGGACCCGAGAUGGAGUUUGAGAUGGAACAGAAAUGGAGUUUGAGAUGGACCCGAGAUGGAGUUCAAGAUGAAGUUCGAUAUAGAUCCAAGAUGGACACAAGAUGGAGUCCGAGAUGGACCCGAGAUAGAGUCUGAGAUGGAGUUCGAGAUGAACCCAAGAUGGAGUCUGAGAUGGACCUGAGAUGGAGUCAAAGAUGGACCUGAGAUGGAGUUCGAGAUGGACCUGAGAUGGAGUCUAAGAUGGAAUUGAGAUGGAGUUCGAGAUGGACCUGAGAUGGAGUCUAAUAUGGACCCGAGAUGGAGUUCGAGAUGGAACCGAGACCAAGACCGAGACCGAGAUUGAGUUCAAGUCCAAGUCUGAAUUCAAGUCCGAAUUCGAGUCUGAGUUUGAAUGUUUUGAAUACAAUGGUGUUCAUCUUGUGUCCAAAUUCGAAGUUAUGCUUUAAGCUGGCAAGAUUAAUGUUAGCCUAUCAGUGGUUCUAUGAGUUGUUCCAUAUACCAUAGGUGAAAGUAAACCUUCCCUGCUUGGGUGAAAGCCCAAAGCAAUCAUCCCCUGGGUGGGGGGGGGGGGGGGACUGCAAAGGGUUCUAAAAGUAUAGUAGGGAGAGUGUGGGGGUUGGACCCAGUGGAGCCAAUUUAGCUAGGAAAGGCCAGUAUGACCUAGGUGUUGAAUGAUGUCAUAACCAUUGGGAAGUCCAAGGCUAGAGUGAAUACAGACAAACAAGUGGGGUAGCUUGGUGAAGUGUUUAAGAGCCAGCUCUAAUUCCCCUGGGAGAUCGAAUGGUCAAUGCUCCCAAUCCAAAUAUGGGUGGCAUUACCUACUUAGAUAUCUGGUGUGGCUAAACGGAACCUCACUUUAGCCCCAUGGCUAGAGCACCCAAAAGCAGAAGGUGUGGAAAGUACUCUUGAGGCUCGUGUAAGGCCAUGGUGUUCCAAAAUGUUAUUCUAAAAUCCCAAACUAUGGAAAGGAAAAUGAGCAAUCCUCUAGUCUAGUGACUAAGGAUAUGGUCACAUGGUGAGAAAGUCCCAGAGGACAAUGGGACUUAGUGGUCAGGUUUAUGAGCCUUGACCCAGUGGUAGGGUUGGCAAAUAUAGCCAUGGAUAGAAAAGGGAUUUGGUGGGGAUAUAAAGAACCAACUCCCAAAGGUGUUGUAGGCUAAAGGAUCCCUAAAAACACAGCUGAAGGGAUGGGAUUGAGUCUGAGAUCAAAUGCAAGUCCGACUCUAGGACCGAGUUCAAGAUAGAGUCCGAGAUCGAGUCUGAGGCAGACUCCGAGACUGUGUUCGAGACAGAGUUUGAGAUCCAAAAUCGGGUCUGAGACCGAGUCUAAGGUUGAGUCUGAGAUUGGGUCCGAGGUCGAGUUUGAGACCAAGUUCGAAGUCAGGUCUCCAAGAUCAAGUCCGAGAUUGAGUCUGAGUACUAAUACAGGUCGAGGGGUGAAAGCCCAAAGCAUGUGUCUCCUAGGGGGGGGGGGGGGGGGGGGGUUCCAAAAGUAUAGUAGGGAUAGGGAGGUCUAGGAAUCAGUUUUGAAGGAACUCUCUAGUGGUGCUUCCAAACUGAUUUGAGGUUAAGACUGGGGCCAAAGGGCCUUGGGUGGGAGUGAGCAUGGACUCGGGUGGUGUCGAAGGGGCCACCCAAGGAAGUGCUCAAGAGCAACUUCCACUUUCGGAAGGGAAAUCGACUGUAGUGCUCCUGACUACCCCACUUGAGUACCUUGCGGCUCAUUAGUCCUUGCCCUUCCUAAAGGCUUGGGCCUUCCCUUUGGGAUGGAAGUGGGGGGGGGUAGAGGUACCCAUAUCGGGCCGUUAAGCCACAAUGUUUCACCCCGGUGUCCCGAAGCAAGUGUUGCACCCAAGGCUUGGGAUUUAGAGGGUCCCAUGAUUAAGUCUUGUUGUACCAAGGGAUGUUAAGAACCUAGAGGCUUGGUGUGCUUGGCUGCUUGUGCCUACAGAGAGUGUAGUUGAACCUUAAGUCUAGUCUAACUCGGGAAGGGGAUUGGGAGAGAUUUGGGAAUCCAUGGAUGGGUGGUUAAUGCUCUGUUGCUCGUGUAGUGAGUAGCUGAAACCAAGUAGGACCAAGUAGGAGCUGGUACAAUAGGCGGGAACCUUGGUGAGGGAAUUUAGCUAAAGCGAAGAUAGUGUUGGUCGGAUAGACGAGGUAAGCUGACAAAUUGGAAAGGAAAAAUUUGUCGCUUACAAUUUGGUAUCGGAGCGGUCUUAAGUCUGACUCUGUUGGUUGGCUAGGGGAAUCACACCACCUGUUGAUUGACAUCUCGCUAGUCUAAUUUGCUCCUGCUAGGCUCGACCCGAGGGGUAGGGUGUCAAGAGAGCGAGGCUCGAGAGAGAGAUGCGGCUCUCAGCUUCCAUUCACAAGGGCGUGAACUUGUAGGGAAGCGUGGUGGAUUAUAAACAACCAAAAAGAACGACUUGAGAGAUGAUCCAUGGGGUUCAAAUAUAAAGGGAAAAAGCCCAUGAACAAGAGUGCACCCCUUUUUCCAAUCGGUUAAGGGUCUUGAGAUAUUUGGGGUUAAGCGUCUUUAGGUUUGAAUAAUACUAGAUUGGGAAGUCCAAAUUCAGGAGCUUACAUUUGGUAUUAGAGCCUUUUUCUCAGUUCUAAUAAAGGACAGAGGUAAAUUGCUGGGAGAUGGCAAAGGCAGGGCAAAAACGAACCAAGGCGGAGACAACACCUCCUCUAGAGCUAGAGCCUCCGGUCGAACAAGAGGCUAUGGAUGAGGAAUCCUUGCAUGAGGAGGACUCUAGUGAGGAAACUUCCAAAUAGGAGUUCGGUGGUGAGGUUCAGUCGUAUAAGGCCCGAUUGGACAUUCUAGAAGGACAAUUGGCACAGACCAAUGCUCUGCUGGAGACUCUCAUACACAAGCUAAAGCGCGACGAGAAACAAAAGAAAAGGCAAAAGACUGUGGAUGUUGGCAGUGCAGAAGGUGCGGACCUUUCGGCAGGGACUGAGGCAGAACCAAACAAGGUCGAAUAGACCAAAGUGGAAUCAGUCCCUCAGGUAGUUCCCAAGUACAAACCAAAGCCCCACCGGUCUUCAAGGGGGUGAAUGACUAUAAGGUGGUGGAGGAUUGGUUUUACAAUAUGGAUGACUACUUCUAAGCGUUGCAGUUACUAAGCUCAGAGAAGGUCCCAUAGACAAAACCAUACUUGGCAGAUAAUGCCAGAUCUUAGUGGAGAACGACUGAGGCUAACAAAGGACUGGUGGCCACUUGGGAAAUGAUGAAGGUGAGAAUCCGUGUGAUUUAUAUUCCUUCGAAUGUUACUCUACACCUAAGAAAUGAGCUGAGUAAGCUGAAGCAAACUGGAACCAUUCAAGAGUAUGUGAAUGGAUUUAUGGCAAAGAGGAUACUUGUCAUGGAUAUGAGUGAUAUGGAUGCGUUCCAUGCCUUUAUAUCAGGCUUGCAGACCUGGGCUCGCGUCAAGGUGAUGCAUUGGAACCCGACUAACUAUAAAGAGGUGUUGGAUGCGGCCAUCAAGGUGCAUUUUAAUGAUAACCUACGAAAGGGGAACACAACGGGGUUAGGGUUCAUGUUUAGCAAAAGGGCCAAACCAAGGGGAACAUAUAGCAAAGGGAAAUCCAAGAAGGGUUUCUCUAAGAAUGAGUCCUCGGGGUUCUGGAAAGGCAAAUCUGGUGGCUAGCAAGCAAGUACAUAGGGGAGUCAAGCAAAAAGAGACAAACCCAUGGAUAAGAAGGUUAAGUUUGCUAGUAGUGUGGGAAACAACAUAUACUACAACUGUGGUGAAGUGGGACACUUUUCGAGGGAAUGUCCUUAACCCGAAGAAGGCCAGAGCCAAUAUGGCCAUUAAGUCGUGUGAAAUCCAAACUAAGGUAUGUGAUCCAAUCUCUAGCUCAAAGUUACUCAUUACAGGAGCAACUUUGGUAGAGAGUCAUUCUCAACAUUUACUAGCCCUCUGAGGGAAGCUCGGAGGUAGUUUUGUUAAGAUUUUUAUUGACAUGGGUGUUUUAGAUAAUUUUGUGGCUGCAGAUAUAGUCUGGCAAGUCGGACUAACGGUGCAAUGGCUAGGUGAACUAAGGACGAUAGAGUUUGUUCAAGGUAGCCAAAGCAUCAAUGAGAUACUUCGACAAGUGAAAGUUGAAGUAGGGACAUGAAAAGUAGACAUGGAUUUCACCGUGUUGAACAUGGUAAGAUUUGACGUAAUCUUCGGGAUGGAUUGGUUCAAUCAAUUCGUAGUAGCCCUGCAUGGACAAGGGAGGAACCUUGUGGUACUGGUGAAUGCCUGGAGAGAACGAUUCAGGGUGGAGGCCUAGGAUUUAAAGGUAGGGCAAUGUAAGGCCAAAGACUUCUAUUUAAACCUAGUGUUCACGAGAGGACAACUCACUAAAGGAACCAAGGCAGCAUUUUUAUGCUUACUCUUGGUGAAAAGUGACAAAAAGAGGGGAACGGAAGAAGUACCUUUAGUAAUUCAGCGGGUGUUGGACCAAUUCCAAGAUACCAUGCUAAAGGAGCUAUCAGCGGGAUUGCCCCCCACACGACCGAUAGAACAUAAGUUUGAGCUGGUCGAGGGUGUUAAGGCAGUGGUUCGUCCCCCCUAUCGUUUGAACGAAAGAGAACUCGAAGAGCUCAAGCACCAACUAGAAGAGUUGGUGGACAAAGGGUAUGUUAGGUUGAGCAAGUCACCGUAUGGGGCACUAGUGUUAUUUGUGAAAAAGAAAGAUGGAUUUAUGUGCAUGUGCAUAGACUACUGGUUGCUCAACAAGUAUACAAAGAAAAAUAAGUACCUUUUGCCAAGGAUUGAGAACCUGUUCGAUAGGUUGGGAAAUGCAAAAUACUUCUCGAGGAUUGACCUAAGGUCAGGAUACUACUAAAUCAGGGUAGUAGAGGAAAAUGUUGAGAAGACAACUUGUUGAACAAGGUAUGGGAGCUUUGAGUUUCUGGUAAUGCCCUUUGGGCUAUGCAAUGCGCUGGCAAUACUUUCGGCGCUGAUGAACCACAUCUUUGUACCCUAUCUGGAUCACUUUGUGGUCGUCUAUAUUGAUGACAUCCUGAUCUAUAGUGAGACACUAGAGGAGCAUGCCGAACACUUGACGAAGGUGUUUGAGAAUCUAAGGGAACAUAAGCUGUAUGCUAAAGAGAGCAAAUGUGACUUUGCUCAACAAGAGAUAAAGUUUCUAGAGCAUGUGGUGGGCAAGGACAGGCUCAAAGUGGACCCUGAGAAGGUCCAAGCGACAGAUAAACAGAAAGGGUGAAUAGGUAGCUGGAGGAUUAUUUGCGAUGCUAUAUCUCAGGAGACCAGACUGAUUGGGUAAGUCAUUUGGGACUUGCAGAAAUGUGUUAUAACAACUCACCACACUCAAGUAUCAGGGUGAGUUCAUGGGAAGUUAUCAAUGGGCGAGCUAUUGAAGGUUCUGUGGAACUCGGCGUGGUCGAGUAUCAUGAAGAGUUACCCGCAGUGGAGGCACGGCGAAAAGACUCAACAUUUGGAAUCUAGUAAGGGAUUCCUUGGAAUGGGCUCAACAAAAGCAAACCAAGUACACGAACCAGAAGUGCCGGGAUGUAAAAUUCUAAGCUGGGGAGAAGGUGUGGCUGAACACCAAGAACCUUAGGCUACCAAGUGGGAUCAGCCGGAAGUUGACCCAAAGGUAAAAAUGCAUAUAUUCCUGGAGAUUAAUUGAUCUUGUGUUCCUUAAGCAAGUUUGCAGGGCCUUACGAGAUUGAGGCACGAAUUGGUAAAGUGGCUUACCGUCUUCAACUUCCUCGAGAGAUGGGGAAGAUGCACCCAAUGUUCUAUGUGAACUUAUUCAAGUUGUACUUUGAGGAUCCGCUUUGCAAGGACCAAGUAAGUCCUUUACCUGAGGUUAUCCAAGGGGAAGAGGAAUACGAAGUCGAGGCCAUUCUCAAUGCGUGCAAGAGCAAGCGACAAAGACGCAAGAUGAGGGAGUUUCAUGUGAAGUGGAAAGGAUUUCCACACUAUGAAGCAACAUGGGAACUAAAGGAGAACCUAGUGAACGCGUGAGAUCUAGUGGAGGAAUUUUUGCAAGGUAAAACUUUAUGUACUUAUGCAAAGUUCAAUUAAAGUAUCAAUUUGUGAAGUUGAGCAAUGGCAUAUGUUGGGUCCCAAAGGCACAUCGAAGGUAAGCUAAUUAGCAUGGGUUAGCUAGGUCGACUAGGUGUAGGAAACUACGCCCAAUUCUCUGCAGAGAUAUUGAAUCCGUAGACGUAUUCUACGGAGGUUGGGUUCGAGUCCUAAGCCCCUAAUAAAGCAAGGCUGGGAUCAAGUCCUAACCCCAUACUAGGGCAUGGAGAGGUGAGGGGUAUAGGGACACCUGUAUUCUGUAGUCAUGGGCUCUUGGCCGGGGAGGCUAACUUAGGCACACUACUAAGUGGAGGGAUGCCCCCGGAGACAUGGUCAACAAGUUGUAGGCUUAAAAAGAGAUGUUCAAUAUGGGCAUCGAACUUCUUCUAUGGGUGGUGGAGUUGUAAGGAACCAAUUCCCUAAGGUGUCGUAGGCCAAAAGAUCCCCAAAAGCACGACUGAAAUGAUAAAGAGUUCAUCGGAUGGGACCGAGUCUGAGAUCGAGUCCAAAACCGACUUUGGGACCGAGUUCGAGAUAGAGUCCAGGAUCGAGUCUGAGUCUGACUCCAAGACCGAGUUCAAGACCGAGUUUGAGACCGAGUUCAAUACAGAGUCCGAGAUCCAAAAUUAGGUCUGAGACCGAGUUCGAGGUCAAGUCCGAGGUCUAAUCCAAGAUCAGGUCCAAGGUCGAGUCCGAGAUUGAGUCCAAGACUGAGUUCGAAGUCGAGUCCAAGAUUGAGUCCGAGAUCGAUUCCGAUACCGAGUCCAAGUACUAAUAUAGGUCGAGGGGUGAAAUCCCAAAGCAUGUGUCUCCCAGGGGGGGGGGGGGGGUGGUGUUGCAGGGGGUUCCAAAAGUAUAGUAAGGAUAGAGAGGUCUAGGAACCAAUCUUGAAGGAACUCUCCAAUGGUGCUUCCAAAUUUACUUGGGGCCGAAGGGCCUUGGGUGGGAGUGAGCAUGGACUCGGGUGGUGCCAGAGGGGCCACCCAAGGAAGUGCUCAAGAGCAAUUUCCAUUCCCGAAAGGGAAACCAACUGUAGUGCUCUUGACUCAUGUGGAGUGGUGCCCCACUUGAGUACCUUGUGGCUCAUUGGUCCUCGCCCUUCCUAGGGGCUUGGGCCUUCACUUUAGGAUGGAAGUGGGGGGUUAGAGGUGCCCAUACUGGGCCAUUAGGCCACGGUGUUUCGCCCCAGCGUCCCGAAGCAAGUGUUGGACCCAAGGAUUGGGAUUUAGAGGGUCCCAUGAUCAAGUCUUGUUGUACCAAGGGAUGUUAAGAACCUAGAGGCUUGGUGUGCUUGGCUGCUUAUGCCUGCGGGGAGUGUAGCAGAACCUUAAGUCCAAUUUAACUCGAGAAGGGGAUUGGGAGAGAUUUGGGAAUCCGUGGAUGGGUGGUUAAUGCUCCGUUGCUCGUGUAGUGAGUAGCUAAAACCAAGUAGGACCAAGUAGGACCAAGUAGGAGCUAGUACAAUAGGUAGGAACCUUGGCGAGGGAACUUAGCUAAAGCCAAGGUAGUGUUAGUCGGAUAGACGAGGUAAAUUUGCAAAUUGGAAAGGAAAAAUUUGUGGCUUACAGGGGACUAUAAAAGGGAUAUUAGGGAAGGUUGUUCCCCAUGUUUGCGAGCAUCUUAAGGGUGUUAAGGAGUGGAUCUAGGAUGAUCACUCAUGGAUGGAUGGCCCAGUCUUUGAGAGAUAGGACUGGGAUGUAGGUGGUGUUGGAUGACCAGUAUGGCAAAGGUGAAUGGGCAUAGCCUUAGCAUAAUAGACUGAUAUAUCAGUGGUACUUUUGGGUGUUGGUCAUGGGAUUAAAUAUGUGGAGCACUUGGACCAAGUGCAAAAGUUGAAUGGUAUGGAUGCCAUUCUCAGGGCUAGCAAGCCUGAAGUCUAGAAUAAGACUUAUGGAGGCUGUGAGUGAGAUUCCUCCAAGUGGUUAGAUGUGUGGUUAAGUGACUAAAGUAAAAUGGAAAAUUUAGUUGCUUACACAAGCUUGAUUAUUAUGGAGACAAUUUUAAAGACAAUGUGAAGAUUUUGUAAAGUAAAUGUCAACCUUUCAAUUUAUCAUUUGAUCUUUUUCCUUUACCUUCUACUCUUUUUGAACUUUUUUUUAUUUUUCGGCCUAAACCACCUUCUCAUAUUCUUAGUAUUCCUUGCUUGUUAGUAACAUUUCCUUCUCCUGACACAUUAAUCAUUUAUGACUCUUAUGAUUCUUAUUCUUGGUUUAGUGUUAAAUUGAGUGUUUUUUGUCCUUCUUAUACUAAUUUAGAUAUUAAAUAUAUGUAUAAAGUUGAGAAUCUUAUUUUUGUUUUAUUAGCAAAGUCUUUGAUCAGUUUUGGUGUUGAAUAUUCCUCUGUUCUAAAGGUUAAGUUGUUUUGGUUAGAAUUUUAGGUUAAGUGCGUAUCCCCAUUUAUGAAUGCUAUAGAGAGUCUUUACUUUAUUAUUGUUACUAAGGAAUUUGAGUCUGAGUUAAUAUGGGGGGAAGAUGAGGAGGUAAGUUCUACUUAUGGUGUAGCGCAUGUGAUCAUGAGAUGAGAUUUGGAUAUAUUGUCACCGUAGAUUCUUGGAACCUUAAGGGAUAAAUGGGGAUAAAAUAGCCACUAAGGGCUCUCUUAUCAAGCAAUUGCCCCUUUUCCAGUUGGCUUGACAGGAGAGAGAUAAAGUGCGUUACAUAUGGUAUUGAAGCAAAUGGCACAGGUUCGAUUCCCAUUGAUUAGUGGCUACUUAAAAAUAUAAUAUACCCUUGAGCAAGGUAUAUUCUUACCCCUAAAUUUGAAAUCAUAUGUAUUGGGCAUCCAUGCAUACGUCCUUCCUCUUGUGUGGAGUAUCCACAAACGAAAGUAUUCACCGUGGGUGGAUGAUUAGUUGCCUCACAUAUGGAAUAGUUAGUUUACACAAUGGAAGAAUUGGUAGAUUCAGUAUGGAAAUGGAAGUGCUGGUUCCCCUUGGCUCAGUAGGGGUUGUUAGUCAAUAGUCAAUGAGGACAUUGACAUCUCUCAAGGGGGGGUGAGUGUAGUGCAUGUGAUCAUCCCAUUGGUAGAUUCAGUGUGGAAAUGAAGGUGUUGGUUCCCCUUGGCUUAGUAGGGGUUGUUAGUCAAUAGUAGGGGGUGAGUGUAGCGUAUGUGAUCAUGGGAUGAGAUUUAGAUAUACUGUCACUGUGAAUCCUUGGAACCUUGGGGGAUAAAUGGGGAUAAAAUAGCCACUAAGGGCUUUCUCAUAAAAAAAUUGCCCCUUUUCCAGUUGGCUUAAGGGGAGAGAGAUAAUAUGCACUAUAUAUGGUCAUGAGUUUGAGUUAACAAUGGUUUUGAAAGAUUAUUAGUGGGCAAACUUAAGUGAAAUGCUGGAUUACAAUGGUUUUUGAAAUCCUUUAUUUUAGUUCAAAGUUAUAGCUUUAAAGUUGGUUUAAGCAUUUAGUAGCUGUAUAUGAAGUUAUAACUAGUUUAUUGAGAUUCUAUAGUUGUUGGAUGAUGUUUAUACUAUGGCCUUGGGUUUUGUUUCAGUUAUAGUUAUUAGCAACUAGAUUACUAGUUCUGUGGGAGCUUCAAGUUUUUAUAGCAAUUUAUAAUCACUUAACAUAAAUUCUAAAUGUUCCAUCUAAUUUAUUGUCAUCACUUUUUCAUCUUCUAGAGGGGAGGUGUAAGGUCUAUAAAUACAUACCCUAUUUAGGUAAUACACUUAUUAUAGUACUAUAGUAUAUACAUCGUCCAUUCAAGACUUAAUAUCAUCCAUCCAUUUUUGUAUAUAAAGAGGGGUCUAAACCCCAAUUAAUAUACCUAAACACUCACAUUUAUAUAUUCUAGGUAUAUCCUUUAAAGCAAACCAAAAACAAAUUGGGCUUACGUAGUUGUUUUAAUCAUGAUUGUUCCUUUUCUUGCUUGAACCUUUGAUCUAUUUCAUGAUGGCUUGCUCACUUUGAAUUUUAAAAUGAAAAAUAUUUAGUCAUUCAUAAGCAAGAUAUAAAGGUCCAAUUGUUUUAGGGAGUUGUCUGCAGAUUUUUGGGCAUUUAUAAAUUCCCAUCAAGUUGCAUCCAUUGUGUGCCUGUAUAUAUGAACUGAUAAUAAGCUCAUUUUAUAUUUUUUAAAUAUAUAUAUAAAAUAUAUAUAUAUAUUUUAUAUCUAUAUAAAACCAUUUUCCAUACCUGUAGCAUCUACCCAUCAAAAUGAACUUUAGCUCCAUUGGUGUUAGUGUUUGUUUUCGCAUUAACAGUGCCAAUAACCAUGACCAAAAGCAUCAGCAUUAUUAGUGUUGUAACCUUCUUCACCAUCUCUUCAACUCUUUUAUAACUCUUAGAUUCAAAGAGUUCUAGCAAAGUGAUUACAUUGCUGCUAGUCAAGAAUAUAUUAAGCCAAUUAAGAAUGAGUGUAAUGAAUAUUCCUAGAACAUCCCUAGAAUAUUUUUGAUUUGUUUAAUAAUUGAGUGGAGCCUCACUCUAACUUGCUUAAUGGCCCAUUUAUGUCUGGAUCAUUCUUGAAAGCAGUGGCUUAAAACAAAUUAACUCCUUUGAUCCAUCCUCUUUUAAAAUCCACUGUGUGUUUUCCUGACUCAUAUAAGGGAUUGGAGCAUUAGAACUUUAUAUGAUGAUAAAAAGAAACUCCACAUAUAUAUUAAAAAUAUUUGAAAUUUUAAACUGUGAACUCUAAAUAUUUUUAGCUUAACUCACUUGUCAAUUAUUAUUCUAUUAUAGGUUAUUUCUAAAUGUAGUCAAUAAGUAGAGAUUUUGAGCUUGUAAAUGCUGGGAUUUUAAUAAGUAGAGAUUUUGAGUUUGUAAAUGUUAGGAUCUAAAUAUUUAUCAAGGGCAGUGAUCAAAAUUGGCUACUACAAAACACUGCUCUACCACAAAAAUACAUAAGUUAAGGGGUAUGUGUAAUUUAAGUAUUUUAGUGAAGAUAAAACACUUAAAAUUUUAUAUAUAAAAUUAUGUUAAGUAUGUAAAUAUAAAUUUUAAGUGUUCAUAUAAAAUAAAAUUUUGUACUAAAAUUUAAGUUAAGGCCUUAAUAUAGAAUAUAAAUAACCAGCUUUAAGUAUUAAAAAACCAUAAAAUCCUAAUCAAUACAAACCAGAUAUAGAAAAUCGAGCUUAAAGAAAAAACAUAAAGCAAACCAAGCUUGCUCCAUAGCACAGCUGGAAUUUGCUUUGCUGGAUUAUUUUUCCAAACAGUAGUUACCACGGGUUUUGAAAUUAAAAAUAUUGAGAAAAAGUGCAAUUUGCAAUUUAUUGCAAAAUUCCCACUUUAUCAAGAACUGCUCGCUCAAGAAAGUCCUGGCAUCUGUAAAAUUAUCAUAUCAUAUUGGAUUAUUAGUAUGUCUCCCACACAUUUUUAUCUAGCAGCAGUACUGUCUCCGACGGUAGUAGCAUUUCUUGGGGCACUCUGGUGCAUUAGGAUGAACUCUGGCCGUUCCCUUCGUCAUAGUUGUCACGGUGGGGAGGUCCACUCUUGCAGUGGCAGGGCCAAAGGCAGCGAAGGCCAACACCAGCAGCAGCAUCAACUUCAUCAUCAGGGCAACCUUCUUUGCCAUCUCUCCAAGCAACUCCUUCCUGUGUUAAGAUCAACUCUUGAAAGAGCACUGCUUUCCUGGCUGCGUUUAUAUACCUUGUCAAGUUAGUGGGCUUGGAAUAUUGUUGACAAAAUACGCCGCAGACUAGUCAUAAUAUUCCAAACCCACUAAGGUGACGAGGUGUCGUUUAAGAGACGUGCACGAUUCUGAACACAGGAUUCAAAAUCUUGUUUUCUUUCCAAAAUGUGAGCGUUCGAUUCAGCAAUGAAGUCGAAAGAUUUUAGAAGAAUGUACAAUAAUCCAGCAUCUGGGAAUGCUGAGGUAAGAUUUGAGAAGAAUGUACAAUAAUUCAACAUCAAACUGUCUGGGAAUGCUGCGGCAUUGUUGUAAAACAUGAUCAAGGAAAUCACACCUUUCUGCGCGCGCGAAAUAUUUAAAAAAAAUUAAAAUUCCAUUAAUACAUUUAACGGUUAAGUCCCUCCUUAAACCCUAAACUCUGAAACCUUAGAACAGUUAAGGCUACUCGUAGUCGGCCGACUUAUCCAGCGGGGGCGUGAGCAUCCCAAACGGGAUCCUCCUCGAGUGCUUCCUCCUGCGCGUGAUUCCCUGCGGCGCCACCAGCGCCUCCGCCCUGAGGCUCGCCACCGACACCCUCCCCGCCAUCAUCUCCAAGUAGUGCUCGAAGCACAGCGGGAACGACUUCCAGUCGUAGACGGAGUGGAGCGUCCCCACCCGGACAACCUCCAUCCAUUCCUCGCCCGACACCUGAAUCCUCUUGAGCACCUUGUGGACGCGCAUCAGGUACAUGUCGAUCAUCCCGCUGUAGCAUCCGAUCACCGAGCAACACUUGCCUCGCAGGAACUGCCGGCUCAUUCUCGUCAGCACCACGAACAGGAGAUUGUCCCCGCACUUGGUAUCGUGGCUCACCAGCGGCGGGACCAAAAACUUCUUCCCCAUGUUGCGCAGGUCCGACUCGGUGGGGAAGAACGAGGCCAGGUUGCCGUCCAGCCCGACCACCUUGAUGUCGUUGGAGAAGGACUUCCGGAUGUUCCUGCUCGACGACUUGUGCUUGGCGGCCAGCGAGAAGAUGAGCGACCAGCGCAGGUGGUAGUCGACCGUCUUCUUCACAAACGCGAAGUUGUCGCAGCAGCGGUAGUAGUCGAGCCAGCGGUACGCCAGCCCCGAGUACCAGUGCAGGAUGGCGAUGUCCUCCUGCGCUAGCAGCAUCCGGAAGUGCGUCGGCCUCCCACCUUUGGUCACGAUCUCUCGCAGCCGCAGCUUGUCCACCAGUUCCAUGAUCGGCAUGAUCACCAGCAGCCGCAGCUCGUCCGCCUUCUUCACCUUGAUCGGUGGCGGGUUUCCGGUCGAUCGGGCCUCCUUCUCCGCUGCCAGCCGCUCCAUCUUCUCCUGCUUCUGCUUCAGCCUCGCGUUGACGCCCCCCUCAGCGCUCACCGAGUAGUCGAGCUGGCCCAGGAACUUGUCCACCUCUUCCUGGAACCUGUCGAACGCCGCGAUGAGCUCCUUGGGUAGCUGUUCGCGGAUCCAGGGGCUCAUCAGUAUGUGGCCUUUGCGGAACUUCUCGCGGAUCAUCAGCCUCUCCUCCUCCCUCUCGCUGCUCAGGAAUCCCCGGACCAUGUCCCCCGCAACGCUCUCGAACAUGCGCCGGACCGUCGCGUCGCCCUGGCUGUCCGACAACGCGUUCUUCCUCGCGCGGGUGUAUAUCUCCACAAGCAUCUCAGCGCCCAGCUUCCGAACAACCGCGUCGUAGUGGUGCUUCAUCUGCCGCUUCACCAUCUCGAUCCGGUUCUCCACCGCUCGCAUCGACUGGAUGCACGUCUGCUUCCGGAACUCGGGCAUCUUGGAGGGAGGAACGAACUGGAGCUGGAAGCCAAGGAAGUCACACUGGUUGAGGGUGGCGUCCAUCAGCGUCUUCCGGCCCCGCUCCACCUCCGCCACCAGCUUCUCGUUCACGUAUACGCACAGCUCGUGCUGGACCGUGAGAGCAAUCUCCUUCUGGCCCGACACAGCCAGCAGCACCUCGUCGCCAUAGCGGCAUGCAUACAGCCUGAUCUUGCGGUCGGCCGGAUCGUCGCUCUCCUCGGCGGGCGUGUUGAGAGCUGACUCUUCAGUGAUUCCAAUAUCAGCAUCCGGGACUGAGGCCCUCGCAACUUUCACUUCCUCAGGCUCCUCCGGAUUCAUGCUUGCCACCCCCUCCGCCACCUCUUGGAUCUUCCAGUCAAGCUUGUCCAAGUAGAUGUUGAGAAGCAUCGGCGAGAGGAUGGGCUCCUUGCAGAAGUCCUCCCAGUGGAGGUUCCCCAUGUCCAUCUGGAAGACGCGGGCACGGAAGAGCUGCCGGAGGAAAGCUAUGAGCCUGCUGUCUUCGAUGGUUUCCUCAAGGAUGGCCACCAGCACGUCGAAGUUCUCGAGCGUGAAGUGCCGCUCCAGCUUCAUCUUGAUGAACCAGUCGAAGUACUUCCAGCGAUACUUGAUCAGCCUCAUAGCCAUAUGCCUCCCUCUUCCGGGCCUGGAAGCAAACGAAAGGCUGGAGAACCGCGGCUCGUAAACUUCCUGAAGUGCCAUCCGGGUGGCCUCCAUGGCGAUCUUGGUCUUGAGAUUGGGAAGAACCAGCGAGCGAGUGGAGUUCUCCUUGGAGGAGACGAGGACCUCCACGCAGUUGGCCUUGACGUCGAAAGUCCCAAUCGCCAAGUCCCUGGACAUGUGCUCUAUCACCUCCCGGCUAAUCCCAUCGGCCUCCAUUUGCUUGGCCUCGUUUCCCAGGAGAGGCCCCGAGCGCUUCUUGAUAGAAUUGUAAGCGGCCAUUAGAUUGCUGGGAGUAGCUACUACAUUCCUCAUCAACAAUCGAUACUUACCGUCCACGAAGAUCCCGUCCACGCCCUGCCGGAACCUCUCCUGGUCCACGUCCUGGAAGAGGGAAUUCACCUCCCUGGCGAUGAGCGCUCUGUUGCUCGGCUCCUCCUCCACGGCGGCGGCCGCUGACCAGGCCGAUCGAUGCGGCGCGGCAGCGGCGCCGACCCAGCAGCGGCGCCAUGGCGCUGCCCGCCCCGCGCGUUGCAGCAUUGCAUUGUCCUAAAGCCCUAAACCCCCCAUUUUUAGGGUUCUUCGUAUUUUCACUCGCUGACCAAGAGGAUCUUGCCCGGGGAAGCCUGCAAAUCAAAUCCUGGCAGCGUUGGAGCGGAAUUUCAACGAUCUUGAGGCGCGUACCUUGGCGAGGCUCCCGCGGAUGGCAUCGUCGUAGCGCUCCAGCGGGAAUUUCUCGCCCACGAGCGGCUCCAUGAUCUUGCCCUCGAGGAGCUUCAUCACGGUGGAUGCGAUCUCCCGGAAUUCGUGCAUUGAUCGCUUGUAGAUCCAGCGCUUGAGGUAGAACCCCUUGACGCUGACCUCGCGCAGCAGCAAAUCCAUGCCCGCGACGGACACCUCCGCCUUGUUCAUGGUGCCGUAGACGAUGACCGUUCCCCUGUUCUUGACGCUGGCGCAAAGAAUCUGGCAGGAAGAAUGGAGCGAAUCAGUGGAUCCGGGUCGACUGGAGAGCUCUUGCCUUUGUGAUCUCGCCGCCCAGGCAAUCGAUGGCGGCGUGCGCGAGCUUGCCAUUGGUGAUCUUCUUCACCUCCUUGACAACGUUUUCUUCCUUGAAGUUGAUCACGUAGUCGGCGCCCAGGCGGAAGAGCUCCUCCUUUUGCUCAUUCUUUCUCACCAGACUGAUCGUCUGGAAAUAUGGAAGAAACCGAUCGAUCGAUGAAUCGUUCCAAAGAAAAAAGGAGAAGAAAAGGAGACCUUGAUGCCCCUGUGGUGUGCGUAUUGGAUGAACAUUCUUCCAAGAACCGAGGAAGCUCCACUCUGGACCACGUAAUCGCCGCUGGGAACCUCCAGCUCCUCCGCCAGAGCAUACACUGCGCAAAAGAAAUCCCUCCCGUGAGGAAGGAGUCCACAAACCCAUCCAAGAUCUUCCUUGCCUGUGAAUGGGUUGACGAAGAACUGGCACGCCACCUCGUUGGAAAUGGAGUCGGGCACCGGGAUGGCCACAUCGGCCGAGCAGAGGAGAAACUCCUGCCAUGUCUCGGGAUCGCUCCACUCGAGAAUCGGGCACACCCGCUGACCCACGCACAGACCCACCACAUUCUCCCCGACCUUUUCUCCCAAUCCAAUCGGGUACCCGCAAAAAAGGAGAGGAAGAACAACGCUAUGAUCGUCACAAAGGAAGGACACUCCAUCGCCAAGUACCACAAGCAACCAAUCCUACACAAGAAGAAGAAGACCCAAGAAGUGAUCCAUCCUCCUCGAUCAAUCACAUCAUGUCAAUUCCUCUAAGCUUCUCGGAGAUCGAUUGGGUCCCAGGAAGAAGACCCGAGAAGAGAUCCUCCAGGACAUAAUGCCGAUUCCUCCAAGCUUUUCGGAGAUCGAUUGGGCCCCAGGAAGAAGAAGAAGAAGAAGAAGAAGAAGAAGAAGAAGAAGACCCAAGAAGACAUCCUCCUCGAUCAUUCAUGCCAAUCACUGCAAGCUUUUCGGAUCGCGAUUGGGUAGUAGCAUCAAACCAAACAACAGGAAGAAGAGGGGAAGAAGAAAGAUCGAUCAAACAAGCUGGAGCUGAAGAUCCAGCUUACCUCGUGGAUGAUCCCCAUGCCCUCGAGGCCUGGCACCGCGGGGAAGGAGAUGGGCUUCCAGGUCGGGUAGAAGCCCUGCAAGCACAUAAUGUCGGAUGGAUUGACUGGGCGGCACAGGAGCUUCACCACGACCUGGCCACUCCCGGCUCGCGGCGUCGCCACCCAUCCAAUCCGGCACGCCGCCGCUGGAUCUUCCCGGUUAUACGACAGGAGCUGGAUCGCCCUGUGCAUCAUCGCCGCCGCCUCCUUGCCCUCGAUUGAUCAAUGCUCUUCUCUUACGAUCGAAGAUCUAGUUUGCGGGAAGGACGAGCUCCUUUUAUAACCCAAAGCUCUCGGAUUUGUUACUGUGGCCUCUUUUCCUUGCUCCUCUUUUUGUUUCGCGGGGUAUUAGAUUAUGAGCGCCAUGGAAAGACCGUGUGACCUGCGUAAUCCGGGAGCGUCAAUCCAGCAUCUUUGUACUCAGCAGCAAAGGCGUAAAACUUUCCAUUCCAUGCGUGAAUGAGUGAACACGACGCCCUCGCUUUGCUUUAGCCUGGAUCCUGUAUAUCAGCGCCAAACUUUCAGGGGAAAAGCUUAACGACAAGGAGAAAAACGAAAGAACCUUUGGCUCCAAGACCACGUUUCUCACGCUCCAUAUUAAUGGUACCGUCGCUAUAGCCACAGUCCUCUCAAACAAGGAUAUGCUGCCAUUCGUCCACGCUCUGGCCAUAACUUUGAUCGUGGGAGGUUGAAUACUGGCAGGGAAAAGCCGACCAAGAAAAACGUGGAUGGAAUGUGUAUACUGACUCAUAAACUUUGCAGGACUUUUUGCCAUACCAAGGUGUGAGUGAGCACUGCCUUUCAAUCGCGAUGAUUCCAAAUUCCAUCUCAUCCUCACUGAUAUCCAAAGAAUUGCAAUCUCGAGCUCCAGGACAUAACUUAUCUACAAGAGAGUGAAAUAAUCAGUAUACUUGUAGAAAAGAAAGGAAACUUACCUCGAGCGUUUGACUUAUCUACCUGAACGUGAUGGAUGCCUUGGAGACUGUUAAACAACCGAGAGAUCCAAAAGUAUGUGUAAUUUCUCUAGUCAACAACAUCAGCUGUUCACGCCAACGAAGCGCGUUUCUCGCGCUUCGCGAAUGAGUCAACACGACGCCCUGGCUUUGCUCUAGCAUAAAUACCUGUAUAUAUAGCAGCAAACUUACAUUACUCCGCGAAUUACCUUCCACUACCUCGUCUUGUAUUAACACUGUCGUGAAGCUAAGUUGCUACGCAGUUCUCCCAAACGCCGAUGCUGCUUAGGAAAGGACCACCGUUGCUGCUACCGCUGCUGCCGUAAAUCGCCUCCGAGACAACCUUUCGAGCACACUCGUCCCAUGCUCUGGCCAUGGCUUUGAUCGUGAGAGGGUGGGUGUAAUUACCGAGCCUCACCGCCCUGGCAAACGAGUCUCUAGCCACCACUGACAGCAAGUGACUAACGAGACCAAGAACAAAGCGUAAAAAACAUGAAUGAAAUGGAAAGAAGGAUCCUUACUUGGAGUUUGGAUCAAAAUUGUCGGACAUUAGAAGCGGAGGAGUCUUUGGAUAAGUUGGAGGGACGAGUACUCGUAGCGGUGACAAAACGGCCUGCCAUUAUCCGACAAAGUCAAGCACCACAGAAGUAAAUAAGGACUUUUACCAUGUGAUGUAUCGUUUCUGGAAUCUCAAGGCCGUUGUACGAAAAUGUAAGAACAAGACCUUCCUUGCCUUCGGAGGCUGCUUCCUCAGUCCCAUCCUCACUGAUAUCCACGACGGUGUCGAUGAGGUGGUCAUUCGUGUCGCGAAUUUCUUGCUCCAGGACAUAACUUAUCUACAUGAGAGUACUUAUAGCGAGGAAAAGAAGGAAACACUUGCCUCAAGUUUUUGACUCUUCCACCCGGAUGUGACGGAUGACUCAAGGUCGGCCUCGUCCCCUUUGUGGAGACUGUUCACAACGCUUCCAUCCGAGGAGAUUAGUGUCAGCGCAAUGGAAUCGAGCUGACGCUUGACCUUCUUCGCAGCUGCUGGACCUUCCUGCGUUGAUGCCAAAGCUCUAGAUUGCUGACGACUCUUUGUCAAUGCAGCCAAGUCCUCCCCGACAGCUGCUCUGCAACCAGGGCCGGGUGCUGAGGCCGCAAGCUUGUCGGACAAGUUCACGACAGAUCUCAUUUCCCUCACGCCUGCGCUGAGAGCUUUUGGAGAGAUCGUGCUAACCUGGAGUUCGAUAAAAAAAUUUAAAAAAAAAAAAAAAAAGAGUUUGAGUUAUGUAAGAGGAGAAACUAGAACUUACGAUCUUAAGAAGCCUCUCCAAAGGAUCGAGGCCCUUCUGGCCAAAUGGAGUCCCGGGCGCUGGAUCCUGCGAGCCAGCGACUUGAGCAGGACUCGGGGAAAACUCCAAGAAAGGUGACGCCGAAAUGCCUGGUGUGCCAAUCACUGGAGUUGCGGUGGACUGGUUGUAGCCAAUCGGCUGGGAGCUCGUUAUCGAGGACACAGCGGAAGUAGCCGCUUUAUGCUCGGCGUCCUCGAUUGGUGGCGAAGCAACCGGAAGCAACGGAGAGGGAGUCAUAAACGGUGGUGUCGCCGCUUGCAAAGGCGUGCCAACUUUGACGGUAGUUAAACCUUGAGCAUGCUGCUGGUCUAUCUGCGGUGACAGUUGCUGGGCCAGUUGAGGCGAUGGAGCUUGCAGAAUCUGGGGAGAUGAAGUCAGCUGAGGCGAUCCAACUUUCAUCUGAUUCAGCUGGUUCUGCUGCUGCUGCUGCACUCGCUUAGUCGCCAUCAUUCUUCGGAUAUCCAUCUUCGAAUCCUCCUGCAUUUGUUGCUGCUGGUGUUGUUGCUGCUGCAGAGGAAGGACGAGGUUGGAAGCUUGCUGCAACUUUUGCUGCUGCUGCUGAGCCAGUUGGAUUCUCUUCAUCUGCUGCUGCUGUAGAAGAUCUUGCUUAAACACAUGCUGCUGCUGCUGCUGCUGCUGGAGAGGAUUUAGACUGUGCAUCAUGUUGGGCUGAGCAGUAUUCUGCCCCGGAAUUGUGACAGGCGGAUGCUGCACGGACGAAAUCUGACCGCCAAGCAUUCCUUGCUGCUGGUGCUGCUGCUGCUGAAGUUGCACUUGCUGCUGCUGCUGUUGCUGAGGGAGCUUACGCUUCUUAAAAGUCUCCAUAAUACUCACAAUUUGUUUCUCGAAGGCUUCUAGCUUGUCUAGCCUGAACUCCUUUGGAAGGUUGGUCCUCGAGGCAGAUAAAUAUGGAAUCAUUCGGCUUAACACGUCCUUGUAAUGAUUCAGCUUCUGCAGCUGAUCUGCGGGCAUUGACUGCAUAUAGAAAAAAAAAUUGCUUUUAACAAUUUGGGCCGACAAAGUCUUACCUGUUGACUUCGUGCAACAAGCAUGUUCCGAAGAUCGUUCAUGUCAGGUAAAUACUUGUCCUUGAGGUUUUGCAGCUGUAACAGAAACGAUUAUUUCAUAUUGAAUACAAAGUACGCUGAUACAUACCUUGUUCCACACCGUCUCUUGUUGGUCGAUGGUAGCGGACUGAGCUGUCUGACCCGAAUCAACUGAAGCUGUGAAAAAAACAAUUAAGCCCACUCGCUCUUGAAAAUCCAUAACAACGCACCUGAGGAAGCUUCGGACACGGCACGUUGUUGCAUCAUCCCGAGGGGUUGAUUUUGCUGCGGCAGUGCUUGUUGCUGCUUCGGCUGAAGCAUUUGUUGCUGAAGCAUCUGCUGGCCACUGCUCAAGAGCUGCUGCUGGUGCAAAGCUUGAGCACUCGGCUGCUGCUGUUGCUGCUGCAUGUACGGUUGUUGCUGCUGUUGCAUCAAGCUUGGUUGAUGCUGAGACAUAUUUGACUGAGGCUGAGAAAGUCCAGCUAGCUGUGGCUGUUGUUGUUGUUGCUGCUGUUGCAAUGGUGGUAGCUGCUGUUGUUGCUGCUGCUGCUGUUGAUGGUGCUGCAACAGGGUCACGGGCGGCUGCUGUUGCGGCUGCUGUUGCUGCUGUUGCGGAAGUAGACUUUGCUGCGAAUUAAUCCCAGAAGGUUUUAGAACCAUACUCGUCGGUUGCUGCUGCUGUUGCAAGCCGGGUUGCUUUUGCUUCAUAUGCAUCCGGUAAAGCAUCUGCUGAGAAGCAACAUGCGGAGGUUGUGAAGAUUGAGGCUGUUGUUGUUGUUGCUGAUGCUGUGGUUGUUGUUGAGGCUGUUGUUGCUGCUGUUGUUGUUGUUGCUGCUGCUGCUGCUGUGGCUGCACUUGAGUUUGACGAGCUUGCAUCAUUCUCAUGGCAGCUGAAUUCUGGCCGAGACCGGCAAGGCUUGCUUGUUGUCCUUGCAGGUGUGCUGGCAAGGCCGCAAUGGGAUUCCCUUGCAAAGACUGAUGUGGUCUGACUUGACCACUCAGUUGGAUGUUGUUGCCAAAACUUUGCGGGACUUGAGCUUGACCUUGAGCUUGUCUCAUCUGUAAUUGCUGCUGCUGCUGCUGCUGCUGUUGGAGUUGUUGUUGCUGUGGUUGCUGCUGCUGGAUUUGCUGCUGCUGUUGCUGGGGCUGCUGCUGCUGUUGCUGGAUUUGUUGCUGGAGCUGCUGCUGGAUUUGAGGUUGCUGAGGCGGCUGCUGCUGCUGCUGCUGGAUUUGCUGGGGCUGCUGCUGCUGCUGGAGCCCUGGCUGCUGAGAACCCAUGAGAGACGAAGUCCCAGAAACCAUCUGAGAAGCAUCCGACGGAUUUGACGGGGGAGCGUUGCUGUUGUUCUGGGACGACUUAUUCUCUAGCGAGAGCAUCUUCAUGGAUAUCCUCCGGAGAUAGUCUUGCUGAACAAGGAAAAAAGAAACUUUUCUAUCAUCGAUCCGAUCAGAGGAGCGAGGAGAAACUUGCCUGAUCCGUCGCCGUCAUGUAAAUCUUCUCCUCGAAGCGGCAUGCGAUCUUGAGCAGCUCGUUCAUGCCGUCGGGCGGAUUGUGUGGCAUAUGCUUCUGGAGCGUGUCCAUUCUGCCGAUUACCGGAGACAAGGCCAUGAGGAUCAAUCCAGAGAGCUAGAGGGGAGCGCUUACAUUCUCUUGACGAUCUUAUUCCGCGCAUCGGAGCAUAGGCCACUACGCCAAUCCAUUGCCCUCGUCUUCUCAAACCCUAGCUAGCUCGCUCCUCCUAUUUGGUAAAUCUGUUGAAAACUAAUAAAAUAAUGUGAAAUAUUCUUUACAUCUAAAGCAUCCGGUCAAGUAUCUAGGGCUUGACAGAGCUAUGGCGUUCCAGGGCGCCAGGGUUCCUCUCAAUUGGUGGCAGCGCGCGGCCGUCGUGGCGGGAUCGGCAGUGGGAGCUGCGCUGAAUCCCGCUAGGGCGGAUCUCGUCGCUGCUCUGGGCGAGACCACGGGAGGAUUUGCGUUCCAGCGAAUGCUGGAGCGUAUGGAGCGAAGCCCCGAGGGCCAGGUAGCAAGCAAAUCUUGUUCUUUCUAUCCAUCUCCAAGCAAUUCCUUUGCUCCAAGCAGAGAAUUCUCGCGGAGCGUCCCAGAGUGACAUCGUCGGCAAUGUCUCGCGCCUGGGAUCUUCCACCCAAUACCUUUGGCGCCGCCUACGCCCAGUUCAUGGGAUCCAGGAACUUUAGCCCCGACGAUCGCCCUCCAGUUCGAUUUCUAGAGUCCGAGCAGCUCGCCUACGUUGCGACACGAGCCCGGGAAGUUCACGACUUUUGGCACGUCCUCUUUGGCCUGCCCACCAGCGUCAUGGGAGAGCUCGCCUUGAAAGCUCUCGAGUUCCAGCAGACCACCAUGCCGAUGUGCUUCCUCUCGGUUGCCGGAGCUUCGUGGCGGCUCAAGCCACACCAGAGGGACGCGCUCUUCCGGGAGUUCAUCCCCUGGGCUUUCAAGGCUGGGAACUCCGCCACGGACCUGAUGUGCGUUUACUACGAGCAGCACCUGGACGAAGAUCUGGAAGACGUUCGCAACAAGUGGGGCAUCAUUCAUGCGCCGGCGCUACGAAAAAAAUAGUUUUUCCGAGCCUCCUCAACUCUUCAACUUCGCCCAAGCUCCUGUGAGCCUCUUCUUCUACAGGAGCUUUGGUGCUGGAUAAAAGGUUGAGCAGAAACUUGCCUGUGCACGAAUGUAGAAGUCAUUAGAACCGGAUCGCAAAAGCUCAGGUACUUACAUUCUCCUGAUGGACAUUUCCAGUUGUGUCGUUCGGAUCAGGUCUCUGAGAAGCCAAUGUUCCAGAGGCCUUCCGGUGUCGAGGGAGGAACGAACUUAUACCGAUGUUCACACCGCGAGUUCCCGUUUCGCCUGGGAGUUCCACACGUUGACGUUGGGAAUCUAGUGGGAAAACCACAUCGAGCAACCUGAAGCUCGUAGUGAUGCGACGGAGACACUGGACUUACAACGAUGGUAGAGGUGCGACUGCUUCUGCUAAGUCUCCAGGAAAGGAGUGGACUGCGCCUGUUAAGUCGGUGCGGAAGACAGGUGACGCGUGGAAUGCAAGUGCAAAAAGUUCUACCACGCCGGCUUCGAUUUCUCAGCUCCAUGGCGAUCUCUUUGAGGCGUGUCGGCUCUGGUGGUGAAGUCCGAGGAUUCUUUUUUGUGGUUGAUCUCUUUCCUUUGAUCCUAGACACCAAUGAAUUUGCAUUUUCAAGUUAUUGUACUUCGAAUUUAGCAUGUCCCAAGCCCCUAUAAUUGCAUUCCCUCCCUAAUCCAGUGUUUUGUAGAUGGUCCAAAUGUUAUUUAAAUUAACAUGUAUGUCAUAGGCAUUUAUUCAUUUUUCAGUUAAUGCCCAUGAUAAUAUUCAUUUUUCAGUUUCAAUUGAAAUUUAGGUAGAAAUAAUAUCACAUUGCAACCCUAUUGAAGUAAAGCCUUGCAAGAAUUAAUUUAGCCCAAAAAUUAUUUCUUUUUGGUCUGAUUAGGAUUCUUUAGCUUAAUGAAUAUUGUAAUGCCUAACACAAACAAUUAUAGAAAUGUAAUUUGUGCUUACUUUUAUAAAGUAUUUUUCUUCUUUUUAAGAAAAUAUACAAAUUGAAAGUGAGAUUGAAUAUAAUAUUUCAUCUGAGCAAGAUUGAAGUGCUAAUAUUGAGCAAUCUUGCUUUUCCCCUCUUAUUUCUUUUAAGUAUACAAAGAUUUCAAAUCUAAAUGGCUUAUUUUUCCUUUUCAUAUCCAAAACCAAUUUAAACUUCAUAGUCAGAGUUACUCUUAAAAAAACAAAAAAUAGUGUAUAUCCAAAUUUUAACAUAAAGCGUACAUGCAAAUUUACAUAAUAUUGAAAUCAAAAUAGGUAUGAAACUUAAUGUAAUACUUAAUAUUCUAAGUUAAUAUCAUUAUAUGUCAGGAUAAGAUACCAAAUUAUAUUUAUAUAUACUUAAUGUUAUAAUAUAAUGUGUUUAAGUUCCACACUUUAAUUACUCUACAUAAAGAGGAUUUGAAUUCUCUUUUUCUUUGAAAAUGGGUGUGAGAUAAUGUAGUGAAUGUUUAUAUCAAGCUUAUUAAUGGUAAUAUGUGCAAUUUUUUAUUGUGUCAAUUUAGUAGAAGGUAAAGUUUUUUAUUUAUCUUUUUCAUUGCUUUAAUGGUUUUGUAACAACUAUUGCUUUCUUAAAAGGAAAGCAUAAAAAGAUUAUUCUCCAUUUUGAUCUUAUAAUCACAGUCCACAAUCAAUAUUUUAUUAUGAUAAUGAUAGAGAACUACAUCAAAUCAAGUGCAAUAUAAAAGUAUUAUGGGAAACCUUAUUCAAUCUUGCUCACCACAAUACCUUAAUAACUUAUGAUUACACCUUUAUUUUUUGAUAAUAUAAACUAUAUUAAACAAUUGUUAUAAGUGGGUAAACAUGUGAUAAAGUGAGAGUAAGGAUAAAACCAAGCUAAAAAUCCAAGAAUUGAAUUCGUCCAGUAUUAAACUCCUUAACCAGAUGGACUUGUUGCUCCUUCUGAGGCCACCAGGAUUUGCCAGUGACUCGACUUGAGGUUCAAGCUGGUUCUUCCAAGUUCUUGUGAGUCGAGUAGUAAACAACGUCUCCAGCUUCAAGUCCUUGGGAACCAGAUCCAGCGGUCCAAUUCCAUUCAUUGAGACAAAAGUAUCCUUGUCUAUCAGGGUUCACGCCUGUGAGAUCCUGGGGACGACGUACUUUUGGAGCUUCCCAUCCGGAGAAGCGAGUAUACUUCCAAUGUAAACUUCCGGAGAAAGGAUCCCUUCCACGAAGACCAGCCUGAUGCUCUCUUCUUCUUUGUCUUCCAUGCCCUCAAAGAUCAUCUCCACCUGUCACCAGCGGCAGGAUCUCUGAAUUCUUGAGAAACUUCACGUUUGUGAACCUGUGGGCUUCGUCUUUGCUGCUAGGCCACUUACACGUAACCGCGACCUCGGCCGAUCCAUCCCGCAAGGCUUUCGAGACGAGAUUGGUCCUCCUCUCCUCCCCAGCACCCUUGCUCGCGCUGUCCUCCAGCUUCUCUGCGAGCUCUAGAAGAGCCUGCUCUCCGAGGAGCAGUAAUCCGGGCUCUCGAUCUGCUCUGCCAUGGGCGCCUUCCUGGACCGGAAGGUUAGGUGCUGAGGGAAGGCAAGUUCAUCUGAAAUCCAAAGGGAAUUCUGUUUGAGAAUAUUCUCCGUGACGAACCCCGGUUCUGCCUCGUCCUGGAAGCUAUUAACCUGCUUCUAGAUGCGUCGUCUCUCGUAGAUCUAGCGCUCACUCAGGCGAGCUCUCUUACAGGAUGUGGAUCGCGAGGGCCAAUGAUCAAGAAAUGCUUGCCAAGCGGAAGAACGCUGUGUCGGUGGCGCCAAGCAGGCCUCAACGGGCCGUCCCCAAGGAAGCGAUUGCUCCUUCCAAGGCAGAGCGCGACGAGGUUAGAAAUUCUAGUCCCGUUUUCUUUUCCUCACAUCACGUAUGGACUGGAAAGAUGGCGGCGAAGGAUCUCCAGAAGAAGAGCAUGAAGCUCGACGAGUUCCCGGAGGUGUCGGGCUAGUUGGCGUCUCAAGGGAUUAAAGCGUGCUCAAGAGCGUGCAGCACGAGAAGGAGCGAAUCUUCCAGAUCUUAAGUGUUUUCUCUUCCAUUUUCCUCUUUACUCCUCGUGGCUUACGAAUCGAGGGGAUACAGUGACCGAUGGGGAUCGUCUGAUGCAAAGUAACAAGCGAACGGCACAUUCCAACGCACAUCUCCAUGCUAUUCGUGACAGAAAACGUAAGUACGAGCAGGAACAGGAGGCCGGACGCUCAGAGGAUGAGCCUGCGAAACAAGAUUCUCUGUCUGCGAGGGAAGGUUCUCGGUCUCCGAGGGAAGGUUCUCGGAUGAGAGCUGUGAGGUUCUCGGUCCUCUGUGGCAAUGGGAUUCCCUUGCCAAGACUGAUGUGGUCUGACGCGACCACUCAGUUGGUCUUGAGCUUGAGCUUGUCUCAUGUGUAAUUGCUGCUGCUGCUGCUGCUGCUGCUGAAGUUGUUGUUGCUGUGGUUGCUGCUGCUGGAUGUGCUGCUGCUGGAUUUGCUGGGGCUGCUGCUGGAGCCCUGGCUGCUGAGGACCCAUGAGAGACGAAGUCCCAGAAACCAUCUGAGACGCAUCCGACGGAUUUGGCGGGGGAGCGUUGCUGUUGUUCUGGGACGACUUAUACUCUAGCGAGAGCAUCUUCACGGAUAUCCUCCGGAUAUAGUCUUGCUGAACAAGGAAAAAGAAACUUUUCUAUCAGGGGAGCGAGGAGAAACUUGCCUGAUCCGUCGCCGUCAUGUAAACCCUCUCCUCGAAGCGGCAUGCGAUCUCGAGCAGCUCGUUCAUGCCGUCGGGCAGAUUGUGUGGCAUAUGCUUCUGGAGCGUGUCCAUUCUGCCCAUUACCAGAGACAAGGCCAUUAGGAUCAAUCCAGAGAGCUAGAGGAGAGCUCUUACAUUCUCUCGACGAUCUUAUUCCGCGCAUCGGAGCAUAGGCCACUACGCCAAUCCAUUGCCCUCGUCUUCUAAAACCCUGGCUAGCGCUCCUCCUAUUUGAAUAAAAUAAUGGGAAGUCAACGCCCACCAGUGCAGAUCUGGAAGACUUUCGCAGCACGUUCCUGCGCCAGCGCUACGAAAAAAAUAGUUUUUCAGAGCCUGCGCAACUCAUCAACUUCUCUUGAGCUUUGGUAUAAUAGCCGAAGAAACUUGCCUGUGCACGAGUGGAAAAUCCAUUAGAACCGGAUUCUCCUGCUCGGAUCAGGGCCAAUGUUCCAGAAGCCUUCUGGUGUCGAGAGAGGAACGUACUUAUACCAAUGCCUUGACACCUGAUUGUGAUGCUCACACCGCGAGUUCUUGUUUCGCCUGGGAGUGAAGAAACAGUCCAUUUCGUGCCAGAUACGUUAGGAAUCUUUGAGCAACUAGGCAGAGCUGAAGAUUGUAGUGAUGUGAUGGAAACACUAAAAUCUCCAAGGAGAGACUAGACUUCUAAGAAAGGAGUGGACUGUGCUUGUUAAGUUAGUGUGGAAGAUGGUUGAGAUGACUUUUUGAAUUUUGGCAUAUCUCAAUUACAUUUGAUUUUUCAUUUUGCAUAUUGAUACUUCUAAUAUCAGUUUACUGAACAUUACAAUUAGUAAAGGUAAAUUAUUUCAUAAAAAAAGAGUGUUUAACAGUAAUUUAGGGUUUUGAGAAGCUUCAUAAAUAUUUGCAUGGAUCUCAGACAUUAUUAAAAGGUGAUUAUGCUAUGGUUACUUUAUUAUUAAAGUAAAAUAACUUACUACUCAGUGGGCUCUAAAACUUUAAAUAUAUAAUUUCAAGGUUAUUCAUCACUUAUGGAGUAUUAUGGUUGAUGUUGACAUUCUUUCUUAAACUUCUCUCCUUUUUUCACUCUUUUGUUAUAUUCUUAGUAAGCUUAUUAUUCAACAUCUGUGGAUUUUCUAGAUGAGAAUUUCAUGCCGUCAAUAAUUGCUAUACUUGACUAAGUGUUUACAAAAUGUGGAGUAAGAUUUAAAAGUUCGUGAGGCUCAAAAGGUUAAACAAUGGAUCCAAAGGUUUUACAAUGGGUUUAAUAAUUUUGCAUCACUUACUAAUAACUUGUUAUUUUAACAUUUACAAUCUCAAUAUCACCUUGAGGACAACAUUCUUUAUUUUGUGGGGAUGGAUCCUAAUGAUCAUUUACGACUAGUGGUGCCUUCAAUAUUUAUUUCACUCUUUCUUCACACUUACUAUUAUACUCCUAUUCUAGGUAGGCAUACAAAACAUUGUUGUAUAACUAAAAAGUUCUACACAUCUUUCUAUUAGCCUAAGAUGUGAUGUGAUGUUAUUUUAUAUAUAUAUAAUUGCAUUUGGUGCUAAGCUCAUAAGACUCCCCCUUCUAUUGUAGAAGGACAAUUAAAGUUAAUUCUAGUUUCUCGUUUGUUUACAUUUGAUUUAAUAGGGCUUUUUCUAUAGUUUAUUACUGGCAAUAAGUAUGUCAUUAUUAUUUAUAAUUAUUUGACUCAAUGGGUGGAAGUUAAUGCUUUUGCUAAUGUGUCUACAGCUACUAUUAGAUACUUCCUCCUCAAUUGUAUAAUGUUCUAGCAUUCUUAUCCGAAGCAAAUUCUCUCGAAUAAUAGUUCCGCAUUUAUGGUUAGGGCAUUUCACAUUUUAACAUCUCAAUUGAGGAAAUGCCAUACUUUCACAAGUGUUUAUCAUCUAUAAAUAGAUGGUUUAGUGAAACAGCUCAUUCGGACCUUCAAAAGGAUGAUUACAAAGUAUAUGAACUUUCAAUAUUCAGAUUAGGAUGGUUAUUUGUCAUUUUUUUUUUAUAUAUUUUCACAAGGGUAUAAAGUUUUAUUAGUGCUUCACCAUAUAAAAUUCUAUAUGACCAUGAUUCAAUAUUACUAACGGAGUUGAGUUUAUCUUCACAAUUGCCACAAACUACUGAUGCUAGGUCUUGAUAUUAGCAUUUGACAAGUAUUCUUCCAUUAGUUCAAGUGGAGUUUAAUAAACACUUAAUCUGUAUAAAUAGGACAACAACAAUGUUACAACUCCUAUCAUCAUCUAUAUUCAAAGUACAAAAUAGAUGAUUUAGUCUUAGUUUAUUUUUCCAAUCUUAUAAUAUGUGAUUUGUUUAAAAGGUUUCUUGCUCAAUGGAAGGGACUAUAUCAGAUAUUGCAGCAACUUGGACCACAAAUGUGUAAAGUUUAGCAUGAUAUUCAACAAAUACAUCCUCCAAAUAUUAUGCAUGUGAAGCAAUUAAAAAGCUUUAUACAAAGGGAUCAAACUAACACCACCUAUAGAUCUAAUCAUGCCUCCUCCUGAUGUUCUUCUAAAUCUUGACCUAUCAACUAGAGAACCCUAAUAACCUUCCAUCCUUCUGAAAGGAGGGGAUGAUAUAAAAUCCAAGUGCAUAAUUACGAUACCAUAUAUUAAUAUUAGUGUAGUGGGAUUUUAAUAACCAUUAAAGUGGUUUCAAUUUGAACCACUUACUCUUGUAUAUAAGCUAUGGUUUUAGGAUUAAUCAAAUAUACGUAACCUCUUGAAUUUGGACUUCUAAAGAUGUCACUCAACCUAAUACCUAAAAACGCUUAACUCUAAAUAUCUUAAAAUUCUUAACCAAUUGGAAAAAAAAGUGCACUAUUGUUCAUGAGUUCUUUCCCUUUAUAUUUAGACCCCUACAAACUAUCUCUUAAGUUGUUCUCUUUGGUGAUUUACAACAUGCAAAUGUUAAUCUAAUAAUGUCUACGACAAUAUUUAAGUAACAUUUAGACCACGAGUUACAUGGGACUAGGUUAUAAGGGCUUGGGACAUGUUAAAUUUGAAGUACAAUAACUUGAAAUUGCAAAUCCAUCAACUUAGGUGGGGCAUGCAAUUAUAGGGGCUUGAGACAUGCUAAAUUCAGAGUACAAUAACUUGAAAAUACAAUUUCACUAACAAACAACAACAAGAUUGUAGUGCACAUGGUUUUUACCCUUUAUCCUAUGAUGAUUUACCAUAGGAUAACCACAAAGCAGAACAUAAACCCUCUUUGUGCCACGUGACAGAUGCCAUGUGUCAUAUGCCACAUGUCCAAAGGACAGUGGUGUGGAACCCAAGUUUCAGGGUCUUGGGCCACUGAACAAAAAAACAGUGCCAAACUCCCAAGCAUGGAGCCAAGGAGUGACGGAACUGAACCACGGAGCAACUCCCGAGCAUGUAGCCUAAGGAGCGAAGAGAUAGGAGCUCGGAGCGACUUGGAACAGUCCCAGAACAACCAAUAUCUCAAUGCCAAGACCAACACGCAAAACAAAGCCAAACGGAGUCUGGCGCUAUUUCAGCAUACCAGUGGCCUAACAUGAGGACAUGGGUGUAAGGAACUGACUCCCCGAGAUGUCGUAAGGCUAAAGGAUCCCCAAAAGCUUGACCGAAAUGACAAAGAGUUCAUUGGAUGGGACCAAGUCGAGGAUCGAGUCCAAGACCGACUCUAGGACUGAGUUCGAGGUAGAGUCCGGAAUCGAGUCCGAGACCGACUCGGGGACCGAGUUCGAGNNNNNNNNNNNNNNNNNNNNNNNNNNNNNNNNNNNNNNNNNNNNNNNNNNNNNNNNNNNNNNNNNNNNNNNNNNNNNNNNNNNNNNNNNNNNNNNNNNNNNNNNNNNNNNNNNNNNNNNNNNNNNNNNNNNNNNNNNNNNNNNNNNNNNNNNNNNNNNNNNNNNNNNNNNNNNNNNNNNNNNNNNNNNNNNNNNNNNNNNNNNNNNNNNNNNNNNNNNNNNNNNNNNNNNNNNNNNNNNNNNNNNNNNNNNNNNNNNNNNNNNNNNNNNNNNNNNNNNNNNNNNNNNNNNNNNNNNNNNNNNNNNNNNNNNNNNNNNNNNNNNNNNNNNNNNNNNNNNNNNNNNNNNNNNNNNNNNNNNNNNNNNNNNNNNNNNNNNNNNNNNNNNNNNNNNNNNNNNNNNNNNNNNNNNNNNNNNNNNNNNNNNNNNNNNNNNNNNNNNNNNNNNNNNNNNNNNNNNNNNNNNNNNNNNNNNNNNNNNNNNNNNNNNNNNNNNNNNNNNNNNNNNNNNNNNNNNNNNNNNNNNNNNNNNNNNNNNNNNNNNNNNNNNNNNNNNNNNNNNNNNNNNNNNNNNNNNNNNNNNNNNNNNNNNNNNNNNNNNNNNNNNNNNNNNNNNNNNNNNNNNNNNNNNNNNNNNNNNNNNNNNNNNNNNNNNNNNNNNNNNNNNNNNNNNNNNNNNNNNNNNNNNNNNNNNNNNNNNNNNNNNNNNNNNNNNNNNNNNNNNNNNNNNNNNNNNNNNNNNNNNNNNNNNNNNNNNNNNNNNNNNNNNNNNNNNNNNNNNNNNNNNNNNNNNNNNNNNNNNNNNNNNNNNNNNNNNNNNNNNNNNNNNNNNNNNNNNNNNNNNNNNNNNNNNNNNNNNNNNNNNNNNNNNNNNNNNNNNNNNNNNNNNNNNNNNNNNNNNNNNNNNNNNNNNNNNNNNNNNNNNNNNNNNNNNNNNNNNNNNNNNNNNNNNNNNNNNNNNNNNNNNNNNNNNNNNNNNNNNNNNNNNNNNNNNNNNNNNNNNNNNNNNNNNNNNNNNNNNNNNNNNNNNNNNNNNNNNNNNNNNNNNNNNNNNNNNNNNNNNNNNNNNNNNNNNNNNUUUUUGGGGGGGGGGGGGGGGCUGCAGGGGGUUCCAAAAGUAUAGUAGGGAUAUUGAGGUCCAGAAACCAGUUUUGAAGGGACUCUCCAAUUGGGCUUCCAAACCGACUUGAGGUUGAGACUGGGACCAAGGGGCCUUGGGUGGGAGUGAGCAUGGACUUGGCUGGUGCCGGAGGGGCCAUCCAAGGAAGUGCUCAAGAGCAGCUCCCACUCCCGAAAGGGAAACCGACUGCGGUGCUCCCGGCUCAGGUGGAGUGGUGCCCCACUUGAGUACCUUGUGGCUCAUUGGUCCUCGCCCUUCCGGGGGCUUGGGCCUUCCCUUUGGGAGGGAAGAGGGGGGGUAGAGGUACCCAUACCGGGCCGUUAGGCCACGGUGUUUCGCCCUGACGUCCCGAAGCAAGUGCUGCACCCAAGGCUUGGGAUUUAGAGGGUCCCAUGAUCAAGUCUUGUGGUACCAAGGGGUGUUAGGAAUCUGGAGGCUUGGUGUGCUUGGCUGCUUGUGCCUGCGAGGAGUGUAGCCGAACCUUAAGUCCAGUUUAACCCGGGGAGGGGGAUUGGGAGAGAUUUGGGAAUCUGUAGAUGGAUGGCUAACACUCCGUUGCUCGUGCAGUAAGUAGCUGAAACCAAGUAGGAGCUGGUACUAUAGGCAAGAACCUUGGCGAGGGAACUUAGCACAAGCCAAGGCAGAGUUGGUCGGAUAGGCGAGGUAAGCUGGCAAAUUGGAAAGGAAAAAUUUGUGGCUUAUAAUUUGGUAUCGGAGCCUCUUCCUCAGUUCUAGCGAAGGAUAGAGGCGGAUUGCUGGAAGAUGGCAAGGGCAGGACGUAAGCGAACCCAAGCAGAGACGGAACCUCCUCUAGAGCUGGAGCCUCCGGUCGAACAGGAGGCGAUGGAUGAGAAAUCCUUGCAUGAGGAGGACUCCAGUGAGGCAACUUCCAAACAGGAGUCUGGUGGUGAGGUUCGGUCGUCCAAGGCUCGAUUGGAUGUUCUAGAAGGACAAUUGGCACAGACCAAUGCCCUACUAGAGACUCUCGUACGCAAGCUAAAGCGUGACGAGAAGCGGAAGAAAAAGCGAAAGACUGCGGAUGCUGGCAGCGCAGAAGGUGCGAACCCUUUGGCAGGGAUUGAGGCAAAACCAGACAAGGUCGAACAGACCGAAGUGGAAUCAGUCCCUCAGGCAGUUCCCAAGUACAAACCAAAGCCCCCACCGGUCUUCAAGGGAGUGAACGACUAUAAGGUGGUGGAGGAUUGGUUUUACGAUAUAGAGGACUACUUCCGAGCGUUGCGAUUACCAAGCUCGGAGAAGGUCCCAUGUGCAAAACCAUACUUGGCAGAUAAUGCCAAGUCUUGGUGGAGAACGACAGAGGCCAACGAAGGACCGGUGGCCACUUGGGAAAUGAUGAAGGCGAGGAUCCGCGCAACUUACGUUCCUCCGAAUGCUACUCUGCAUCUAAGGGACGAGCUGAGUAGGCUGAAGCAGACCGGAACCAUUCAGGAGUAUGUGAAUGGGUUUAUGGCAAAGAGGAUACUUGUCACGGACAUGGGGGAUAUGGAUGCGUUCCAUGCCUUCAUAUCAGGUUUGCAAACCUGGGCUCGCGGCGAAGUAAUGCGGUGGAACCCGACCAACUACAAAGAAGCGUUGGAUGCGGCCAUCAAGGUGCAUUUCAACGAUAACCUGCGAAAGGGGAACACGACAGGGUCAGGAUCCACGUUUAGCAAAGGGGCCAAACCAAGGGGAACGUUUAGCAGAGGGAAAUUCAAGAAGAGUUUCUCUAAGAAUGAGUCCUCGGGGUUCCGGAAAGGCAGAUCCGGUGGCCAGCGAGCGAGUACGUGGGGGAGUCAGGCGAAAAGAGACAAACCCACGGAUAAGAAGGUCAAGUCAUAUAGCAGCGUGGGAAACAACAUAUGCUACAACUGCGGUGAAGCGGGACACUUUUCGAGGGAAUGUCCCUACCCGAAGAAGGCUAGAGCCAAUAUAGCCAUCAAGUCGGGUGAAGUCCAAACAAAGGUAUGUGAUCCAGUCCCUAACUCAAAAUUACUCAUUACACGAGCAACUUUGGUAGAGAGUCGUUCGCGACAUCUACUAGCCCUCCGAGGGAAGCUCGGAGGUAGCUUUGUUAAAAUUCUUAUUGACACGGGUGCUUCGGAUAAUUUUGUGGCUGCAGACAUAGUCCGGCAAGCCGGACUAACGGUGCAGCGGCUAGGCGAACCAAGGACUAUAGAGUUUGUUCAAGGUAGCCAAAGCACCGAUGAGGUACUUCGACAAGCGAAAGUCAAAGUGGGGACUUGGAAGGUGGACAUGGACUUCACCGUGUUGGACAUGGCGGGAUUUGACGUGAUCUUCGGAAUGGACUGGUUCAAUCAAUUCGUGGUAGCCCUGCAUGGACAAGGUAGAAACCUUGUGGUACUGGCGAAUGCCCAAGGAAGAAGAUCUAGGGUGGAGGCCCAAGAUCUAAAGGUAGGGCAAAGCAAGGCCAAAGAUUCCUGCUUAAACCUGGUGUCCACGAGAGGACAACUCACUAAAGGAACUAAGGUGGCCUUUUCGUGCUUACUCUCGGUGAAGAGUGACAAAAAGACAGGAAUGGAAGAAGUACCUUUAGUGAUCCAACGGGUGUUGGACCAAUUCCAGGAUACCAUGCCGGAGGAGCUACCGGCGGGGCUACCCCCAACACGACCGAUAGAACAUAAGAUUGAGCUGGUCGAGGGUGCUGAGGCAGUGGUUCGUCCCCCUUAUCGUUUGAACGAAAAAGAACUCAAGGAGCUCAAGUGCCAACUAGAGGAGUUGGUGGACAAAGGGUAUGUUAGGUUGAGCAAGUCGCCGUAUGGGGCGCCGGUGUUAUUUGUGAAAAAGAAAGAUGGAUCUAUGCGCAUGUGCAUAGACUACCGCUUGCUCAACAAGUAUACAAAGAAGAACAAGUACCCUUUGCCAAGGAUUGAGGACCUGUUCGAUAGGUUGGGAAAGGCAAAAUACUUCUCGAGGAUUGACCUAAGGUCAGGAUACUACCAAAUCAGGGUAGCCGAGGAAGAUGUCGAGAAGACAACCUGUCGAACGAGGUAUGGGAGCUUUGAGUUUCUGGUGAUGCCCUUCGGGCUAUGUAAUGGGCCGGCAACGUUUUCGGCGCUAAUGAACCACAUCUUUGUACCCUAUCUGGAUCACUUCGUGGUCGUCUAUAUCGACGACAUCCUGAUCUAUAGCGAGACGCUAGAGGAGCAUGCCGAACAUUUGGCGAAGGUGUUUGAGAAACUAAGGGAACACAAGUUGUAUGCUAAAGAGAGCAAAUGUGACUUUGCUCAACAAGAGGUAAAGUUUCUCGGGCAUGUGGUGGGCCAGGACGGGCUCAAGGUGGACCUGGAGAAGGUCCAAGCGAUCCAGGAAUGGGAGCAACCAUCCAAUGUACACGAGUUGAGGGCAUUCCUGGGGCUAUCCAACUACUAUCGAAAGUUUAUCAGACACUAUUCGAGAGUAGCCCUGCCCUUAACGGACUAAACAAGAAAAGGGAAGAUGGUGUGGACGGCGGAAUGCGAGGCGGCAUUCGUCCACCUCAAAGGGAAGUUGAGGAAGGCUCCCGUAUUGGCAUUACCAGACUUUGGUAAGGACUUUGAGGUAGAAACGGAUGCCUCAGACUUUGCGUUGGGCGCAGUUUUGAAGCAAGACAACCAUCCGGUAGCGUUCUUCUCGAAGAAGCUGGACAAGGCUCAACGGAAGUGGCCAGCCCACGAGAAGGAAUUGUUUGCGGUGGUCAAGGCGCUCAAGGAGUGGCGACACUACCUUGGGAGACACUUCAAGGUUUACACGGACAAUGUGGCAACAAAACACUUCUUGUCACAGCCCGACCUAAGAGGGAAACAAGGUCGGUGGGCCAAUGCCUUGGCCGAGUUUGAUUGCGAAAUUCUGUAUAAGCCUGGGAAGAGCAACAUCGUGGCGGAUGCGCUAAGUCGAAAAGCGAGUUUGAGGUUGGCAAUAUCCAACGCAACAGCAACCUUCUGGGACGAUGUGCGGACAGCAUAUGAGAACGAUGGUCUAGCACAGGAAGUGUUGCUGAGGAAUCUAGAGGCGCGGGAAGCUCACCAGAGAGGUGAGCUGCCAACGGAAGAGAAAACGGGCUAUGCGGAACGCAACGGACUCAUUUAUUACAAGCAAACGAGGGUGUAUGUUCCAGAAGGGGAACUAAGGAAGGUGGCCUUAGAAGAGUGUCAUGACGGACCUCUUGCGGGACACGGUGGAGUGCCCAAGACGAUGGGCUUACUCAAAAGGAAGUACCAUUGGCCAGAUAUGGCUAAGGACGUCCAAGACUAUGUAAAGACAUGUCCAACAUGUCAGCAGGUAAAAGCCAUGACUAAGGCUAGUGGGGGCUUGUUGCAAAGCAUCCCAAUUCCAGAUCACCCGUGGAAAUGUUUUACGAUGGACUUCAUCACGGGACUCCCCCCAAGCGAGGGGUUUGAUGCAAUAUUCGUGGUGGUGGACCGAUUUUCGAAAAUGGCACAUUUCAUACCCACCACAACUGAGGUGGAUGCGGAAGGUGUGGCGAAGCUGUUCUUUGAGCAAGUGGUUCGAGUGCGGGGAAGACCCGAAGAGAUCAUCUCAGAUCGAGAUAAGAUCUUCACCAGUAGGUUCUGGAGGACUCUCCUGGAACAGUAUCGCACCAAGUUGAAAUUCAGCACAGCCUAUCACCCACAGACAGGUAUGGGGUAUUAAGUCAAGUUGUUGGCACUAACACUUCUUGACAGACGGACAAACGGAAAGGGUGAAUAGGCAGCUGGAGGAUUAUUUGCGAUGUUAUGUCUCGGGAGACCAGACCGAUUGGGUAAGUCAUUUGGGACUUGCGAAAAUGUGUUAUAACAACUCACCACAUUCGAGUAUCGGGGUGAGUCCAUGGGAAGUCAUCAAUGGGCGAGCUAUUGAAGGUCCUGUGGAACUCGGCGUGGCCGAGUAUCAUGGAGAGUUGCCCGCAGUGGAGGCAUUCACGGCAGAAAGACUCAGCAUUUGGAAUCUAGUGAGGGAUUCCUUGGAACGGGCUCAACAAAGGCAAACUAAAUACGCGAACCAGAAGCGUCGGGAUGUAGAGUUCCAAGCUGGGGAGAAGGUGUGGCUGAACACCAAGAACCUCAGAGUACCAAGUGGGAUCAGCCGAAAGUUGACCCAAAGGUAAAGAUGCAUGUAUUCCUGUAAAUGAAUUGAUCUUGAGUUCCUUAAGCAGGUUCGCGGGGCCUUACGAGAUUGAGGCACGAAUCGGUAAAGUGGCUUACCGACUCCGACUUCCUCGAGAGAUGGGGAAGAUGCACCCAGUGUUCCACGUGAACUUACUCAAGCCGUACUUUGAGGAUCCGCUUCGCAAGGACCAAGUGAGACCUUUACCUGAAGUUAUCCAAGGGGAAGAGGAAUACGAAGUCGAGGCCAUCCUCAAUGCGCGCAAAAGCAAGCGACCAGGACGCGAGGUGAGAGAGUUCCAUGUGAAGUGGAAAGGGUUUCCACACUGCGAAGCAACAUAGGAACCGGAGGAGAACCUAGCGAACACUCGAGAUCUAGUGGAGGAAUUUCUGCAAGGCAGAACUCUAUGUACUUAUGCAAAAUUCAAUUAAAAAUAUCAAUUUGCAAAGUUGAGCAAGUGGCAUAUGUUGGGACCCGAAGGCGUGCCAAAGGUAACCUAAUUAGCAUGGGUUAGAUAGGUCGACCAGGCGUAGGGCACUACGCCCGACUCCCCGCGGGGAUGUCGAAUCCGUAGACGUAUUCUACGGAGGUUGGGUUCGAGUCCCAACCCCCUAGUAAAGCAAGGCUGGGUUCAAGUCCCGACCCCAUACUAGGGCGUGGUGAGGUGAGGAGUAUAGGGACACCUAUAUUCCGUUGUCAUGGGCUCUUGGCCGGGGAGGCUAACUUAGGCACACCGCUAAGUGGGGGGAUGCCCCCGGAGACAUGGUCAACAAGUCGUAGGAUAAAACGAGAUGUUCGAUGUGGGCAUCGAACUUCUUCUAUGGGUGGUGGAGUUGUAAGGAACCGACUCCCCGAGAUGUCGUAAGGCUAAAGGAUCCCCAAAAGCUUGACCGAAAUGACAAAGAGUUCAUUGGAUGGGACCAAGUCCAGAAUCGAGUCAAAGACCGACUCUAGGACCGAGUUCGAGAUAGAGUCCGGAAUCGAGUCCGAGACCGACUCGGGGACCGAGUUCGAGUCCGAGUUCGAGACCAAGUUCGAGACGGAGUCCGAGAUCCGAAAUCGGGUCCGAGACCGAGUCCGAGGUCGGGUCCGAGAUCGGGUCUGAGAUCGAGUCCGAAAUCGAGUCCGAGACCGAAUCCGAAGUCGGAUCCGAAAUCGGGUCCGAGAUCGAGCUAGAGACUAAGUCCAAAUACUAAUACGGGUCAAGGGGUGAAAGCCCAAAGCGUGCGUCUCCCAGGGGGGGGGGGCUGCAGGGGGUUCCAAAAGUAUAGUAGGGAUACUGAGGUCCAGGAACCAGUUUUGAAGGGACUCUCCAGUUGGGCUUCCAAACCGACUUGAGGUUGAGACUGGGACCGAGGGGCCUUGGGUGGGAGUGAGCAUGGACUUGGCUGGUGCUGGAGGGGCCAUCCAAAGAAGUGCUCAAGAGCAGCUCCCACUCCCGAAAGGGAAACCGACUGCGGUGCUCCCGGCUCAGGUGGAGUGGUGCCCCACUUGAGUACCUUGUGGCUCAUUGGUCCUUGCCCUUCCGGGGGCUUGGGCCUUCCCUUCGGGAGGGAAGAGGGGGGGUAGAGGUACCCAUACCGGGCCGUUAGGCCACGGUGUUUCGCCCCGACGUCCCGAAGCAAGUGCUGCACCCAAGGCUUGGGAUUUAGAGGGUCCCAUGAUCAAGUCUUGUGGUACCAAGGGGUAUUAGGAAUCUGGAGGCUUGGUGUGCUUGGCUGCUUGUGCCUGCGGGGAGUGUAGCCGAACCUUAAGUCCAGUCUAACCCGGGGAGGGGGAUUGGGAGAGAUUUGGGAUACUAUACAUUUGGAACCCCCCCCCCCCCCCCCCCCCCCCCCCCCUUGAGGAACACAUGCUUUGGGCUUUCACCCCAAACCUCCCUUAGUAUCAGGAGUUAGCCUCUGGGACAAGUUUGAAACUUACUAAAUAUGAAAUGUUCUUAGAUUGCAAAUUUGGACAUGGGACAAACACCAUUGUGUUCAGAACAAUCUUUACAUUCUGUAGAUAUGCCAAAUGAGCAAAUCUAGACACUUUCCAUAAAUAGUAUUUGGGACCGAAAUGAGACUAACACAAAGGGCAUGAUAGCGAGGGUGUUUGGCAGAUAUGGUAAGCUAUCAUCCAGUGAUAUUGAGGGACCAAUCUCAAUACGCAAGGGUUCUUGUCAUGCUAGUGCAAAACAAAGCAAAAGAGAACUAAGAGCCAAGUUGAGUAUGCUCAGCUAGAAACACAUAGGAGUUCCUACUUUAUGUCCAUUUGCCUAAAUACAAGUGCUAAGCCCAGUAAACUAACACUUGAACAAGAGGGGCUGAUAAAGGGAAUCAGCAAUACCGACCUCCUGCCAUCUUGGCAGUAAGGAAAGAGUGUCCAUAAGGACUGGCCAACAGGUAACUUUCGAUACCCGAAGUCACAUUCGCGACAAAAAUCUAAUUGAUGAACCAAGGAUUUAUCUCUAGACAAUUUAGAAAAUCAAUAAUGUGAGGAAGAGGAUACACAUUCAAGAUAGUCACUUUAUUUAAUAGUCAAUAAUCACUGUAGAAGCGAAUACUCUCAUCAAGUUUUGUUACAAGAUAAAGUUCAUAUACUUAGGGACUCUAUAACGUUUAGAUAACAUUAUUCUUAAAUAUUUCCUUAUUAUUUGUGAAUAGAAUUUUGAUCUCUUUUGGUGACCAAUGUCGAAUAGAAACUUUGAUUCAACAGGCAUCCCCAAUUAAAAUAGGAUGAUAUGCUCCAAUUUUAGCCCCAAAUGAUAAAUCAAGGUCAAAGAGAUAAACAUACUUCUUCAUGAGUUAAUCAACCAUUACAACAUAAAUAUCAUUGAAGGGAUCUAAAGUGGAAAUAGAGGAGCAAGAUGGAAAUAUAGUAGGAAGUAAUCAGGUGAUAAAAGUGAUUAAAACUAAGGUUAAAACUGAGGGAUAGGGUAAAAUAAAAAUAAGAGAAAUAGAAAAAUGAUAAGGGAAGUAUGAAAUAAGUAGGAGAAAUCUCAAAGUCCCAUUUGGUAUGAUUGUACCACAACCAAUCCAUACCAAAGAUGAGGUCAAAAUUUUAACUUAGCACCACUUUUAAUGAUUAAAUCUCAAGCUUGAGAUCACCUAUACAUACAACUAAAUCCACAUCAUUCUAUACAUAUAUAUAUGUAUGGCCAUUACUAUAGAGAAUGAAAAUUAACUUUACUACACAAUGUAAAUGUAAAUGGUAAUAUAUGGCAAUAGGCCAAGCAAUAUAAGAUAAACUCAAGCUUAUAUCAAUCAACAUAAAAAAAAUAAUAAACUUUUUGUUAUAAAAAUCCUUAAAAGUAAAUAUUAAAUGAAUUAGUGUUGAAUGAACCUCUUGAUAAUGCUCCUAAAAGAAGGAUGGAAAGGUCAAUAAUUUAUUCACACAAGAACUCUUCAUUAUUCAUAUAAUUUUUUGUUUCCCAAAAGAAUCUUUAUAUUAAAACCUUCCAUCAUAUCAACAUUAAUAAAACAUUGUUGACACUAAAGCUUCCAACCAAGAAAUGGAAGAUAUUAAUCAACUUCAUUACAUACUUAUCAACAAAUAUCACAGCUACAACCAUGUCCUCACCUUUGUCUUUGAACACAGGCAGUAAUAGCAUUAACUUCCAUCAAAACAGAAUCAUCUCCCAAAAAAAAUAGAGUUAAAGGAUGUGUAGUAAGAGUGAUAUCUCAUAAUGUUGUGCUAGUCAAAAAGUAUAAUUAAAGGUGGUUAAACCAAAUGCACGCACAAAUCCCAUAAAAUCUUGAUAAAAUAGUACCCACAACAUUUUUUGAUUUGAUCCAUUCUAAUAUAUUUAGCUCCACACAAAAGAAGAGACUCUAAAAAUAAAUGCCAAAUUGUAUUACUAACUCACAUGAUUGCCUAAUCCAUUGCUAUCAUGUAAAUCUUCUCCUUGAAGCAAAAUGCAAGCUAGUUCAUGCCAUCAAGUGGAUUGGAGUGUGUCCAUUCUGCUGAUUACCAAAGAGAAGGCCACUGCGCCAAUCCAUUUCUCACAAACUCUAGCUAGCUCUGUUCAAAAUUUUGAAAAACAAUGUGGAAUGUUCUUUACAUCUACAGAAUCUGGUCCAGUAUACAGAGUCCGGGGUUCCUCUCAACUGGUUCUUUCUAUCCAUCUCCAAGCAAUUCCUUGGUUCCAAGCAGAGAAUUCUCGCGGAGCGUCCCAGAGUGACAUCGUGGCAAUGUCUCGCGCCUGGGAUCUCCCACCCAAUACCUUUGGCGCCGCCUACGCCCAGUUCAUGGGAUCCAGGAACUUCAGCCCCGACGAUCGCCCUCCAGUUCGAUUUCUAGAGUCCGAGCUACGCGAGCCCGGUGAGUUCACGACUUUUGGCACGUUUGGCCUUUUUGGCCUACCCACCUGCGCAC